UUCAACAAAAUAACUUUCUGUUAGAACUCAGUUUUCCAGUUUGUUAAACACUGCCGCAUAUUAUCUUCUCAACUUAUCAAACUUACACCCAAGGUAAAAGACCAGUAUCAAAGCAGCUAAAACUAUUAUGAUUACUAAAUGCACUGUAAAAGAGACAGCUCACCAAAAGUUUAUUAGAAAUGGAAAUACACUUCAGAUCUCCCAAUCAUUUCGUAAUCUUCCACCAACCUCAAGCUCAACCCCAGAAUAAGCUGCUUUCCCCCCUUGUUCACACCAAAUCCUAAGAAAGCGAGGACAAAAUGUGUUUCUUUUUUUUCCCCUCCCUUCCUCUUUUUCUUUUUGGAGGCACAAAAAUUGGGGUGAGGACUAUCUUUUUUUUUCUUUUUUUUGGUGGCGGCCUUUUUGGGUUUUUUUUUUUUUUUGUGGGUUUGUGGUUGGUGUUUGGAGAGGGGGGGGGGGGGGCGGGUUUUAUAGAGCGUCCUCCUCAUCAUUCUAGUGAGUAGGAGUGCACUUACAUGGUGAGAUAAAUCAGCAUCCAUAAUGACCACAAAAUUCCCUGAGGCAUGCUUCAGGCCAUGGAUGUAAGCCGUACCUGAAACUUAACUAAAUUAAUGAUCCCUUUUGCUAGUUCAAAAACUUAAACCAAGGCCGGCCAAAGAGAUACCUAAACCAAGCUUCGUAGGUCUAGCCCUCAACGGCUGGAUUAGUAGAUAGCCUUACAUAAGUAGACCUUUCAAAGAGAUAAGCAUAGGCAAAGCAUCAACAACAUUGCGAAUUAAUACUAAAGAGGACUUACAAUGCGAUCCUCUCCAUAGACAGAUUGCAGUUGUUUAACAAUAUCCUGAGUCCCAUCUGGACUUCCAUCAUCCACAACAAUAAUCUCAAAAUUGACAUUCCUAGCCAGGUAAGGACCAAUUGUCAGAUACAAGUAUAGAUCAUGAAGAGAAUGUUGUUUGUCAUUGUUUUAGUGUACUGUUUUUCACAUCUUUAAGUAAUAUCUAUCAUCUAAUGUCAAACCAAAACCUAUGAAGCACAAUCUCAAAUAGUUAAUUUCGUACAACAAUUUGGUCCAUGUUAUUCACAUAUUCAGUUGCAAGUCCAAAGCUUCACCUUCUUACACCUAAUGGUUCCCACACCCACUCAUAACUAUAGAGCUGAAUAUGCUCACGGCUAAUCAUCUAGAAGUUUGAGUGGACAAACAAGCAAACUUUUUCACAGCAAAUCAGUUUUAAUCAGCUUAUCCUGGGCAUAUGUAUAAGAAAAACUACACUUUGUUACCAAUUACCAGUCAUGAUUGAGAGAAAAAAGUAUCCAUACAAAAUAUGUGCUACUGUGUGCAUUGCUUAUCAAUUUUCAAACAAUUCUGAAGCUAAGAUUUUGAUACUUCGCAUGAUAUCUAAAUCAAAUACCCAGAAACACUUCUUUCCAAAUUGUAAGUCAAUCACACACACAAAAGCACAAAUAAUAAUAAUAAUAAUAAUAAUAAUAAUAAUGCUAUAAUAAUAGAAAGACUAAUAAUAAUAAUAAAAGCAAAGAACUGUUCCUGUGUAACAUGGAGAUAAUUAUUUCAGCAGUUCAUAGAUGAUUCUGAUGACCAAGUAAUAAGCUGUAAGAUCAACAAAAACACUUCAUUCAAAUAAACAUAAAUAAACCUUUUGAUGCAUGCAACAAAAGAUUUAGAACGUGAAAUGAAAAAUUCACAGAAGAUAAGUGUAAAAGCCAAAAGUGCAAUGAAAGAAGCCACUAGACAAACAAAGCAGAGGCAAUGGAACAUGCAUCAUCUGUUUUAUACAUAUAUUCACAGAAAAGGAAAAGGAGAACAUGCAUCAUCAUGGAUAACUUGGUAACGAGAGAGAGAGAGAGAGAGAGAGAGAGAAAGAGAGGGUACGGGAGAUGCUUGAAGAUGAGAUAAACAAGGAGAGCAAUGUUGAGGCGCUCAUUGUAGGUGGGGAUGAUUAUACUAUACUUAUUGCUAUUCUCCUUUUGCUCAUUGCCCAUAUUCUUUCUGCAUCAAAAUCCCUCCAACCCCUAGAAAGCGCAAAUUUUUAUUGAACUGGGUUAGAGAGAGAGACGGAAGGCAAAAACAAAAACACUUACAGCUAAUGCAAGUUGUAGGUAACAACUGUUAGUAUUUCAAUUCAAACUAAAGUUCCAUCCUAUUAGUUUUGGUUGUUUGUGAUAAUUCAACCCUCUAAUACGUUAAAGAGCUAUACCCAACAAUCCACUUGUCUCAGACUGAGCUGGAAAAGAUGGAGCUCAUGUGUUCUUCUCAGCAGCUUACUCCACUUAGGUACUUGAUCCCAUCAACCAAAUUGGAUAGCAAAACAAUUUUGGUACAGCUUUAAAAGGCAUAUUUUUCUACCGCAUAAGAUUUUCAUUUAGCUCAUUCUUCUACUUGUCAAAUUAUGCCUCUUCAAUUCCCUUUUGUGUCAGCUGAAUUUCCAAAAGCAGUAUAACUAUCCUAAUUCCUUAUCAGUGAGCAAUAGCUCUAACAAAUUCUUAAAAUUUGACGGAAUAACACGACCGAUCUGAUUAAAAAAAAUCUUCUUUUAGUAUAAUAUGAAGGAAGCCCAUCUUUUCAAGUUCAAUUUCGAUUAGUUCAAGUAAAUUACAUAUUUCAUGCUCAGUAAGAGCAGUAAAAUAUCGCUGAUGUCCAAGAAUAUAUCCAAAACUUUUCGAUACGGGUUGGUAGCUGCUGUAACUACGUGAGACUGUUCGAAGGAAUAGCUCUAACAUAAGGUACCCAAAAUGUAUAAAACAGUCAAUAACGAUUACACAAAGAUUCCCAUACAAAUUCAGCUCUCCAUCUAAACUAACUGAAGAAGCGUAAUGAAAAGCUAGGAAAUUCAAUCAGUUUAACAACUUGAACUGAAAAUCAGAAACGAUCUAAUCUUAAAGACGGCAACUUUAUAUGGUUUGGAAGCUUGAAUUAUGCGCAAAUGGCCGAGACUUUGAGAAGACAAUUAUGUUAUCCAAAUAAUAAAAUAGGCUGAUACAAAAGAGAAGAAUAAAUACAACCUAGAAAGAAAGUAAUAAUCGAAAAUAACAAUAAUAACAAUCCGAGGCUUGUGAACACAAUUUCCUUAAAACAGAUUCGCCCCCUCCAGGUAGAGUGCUUGAGGUUGAGUAGGCGUCUGUCUCCCAGGAUACAACGGAUUAAAGGUGAAUAUGUCAGCACCAAACGUUCUUCACCCCAGCGAACUCGAACUAGAGCAAUAUGGAACACUAUAAAAGAUGCAGAUGCAAGAAGGAAAAAGAGAGAGAGUGUACUUGCUUUUGAAACAACAGGAGAUAUUUAUAGAUGCUAGCUUAGGGUGACUGUUCGAAAUUGGCAACAAGAGUUAAAUUCCAGAUAAUUAUCUUCACGUUUAUGAAAGGACCACAUUCAUGUACAUACAUGUAUCUCAAUAAGAUAACCCCAAAGGAAUCCUAUCCAAAAUUAUGUAUCAAUAAUUAAUACACAUGAAUCCUAUCCGAAAUCAUGUAUCAAUAAUUAAUAUACAUGAAUGAAAGAUAAUUAUCCUGAAUUCUUUCAAGAGUGCCAUUAUGAGAACAAUUUUCUCAUUCACUCUACAAUGAAUAUAGCCAUUUUUCCAACAAUCCCCCACAUGAAUGGAAAAUUUGUUUUGAUUUGACUCUACAGUAGUGUUCCACGACUGAAACCUGCAUAAGAUAGGUUGGUGUUACCCAUUGAAUCUUCUCUUGUGAAAUACACUUACUUUACUAGCAAUCCAGUAGACAUGAUGUCUUUGAACUGUCUCGCUUUUUAGUGUAAAUGAACCAUAUAUUUCACACAGGAAUCAUGCUCCAUUAGUUCAGUUCUCAUAGUUAUGUUCGUUUUGGCCAUGAACAUCAACCUGGUUCAGCAAGAGUUUUUAAGAAUUGAGCCCUAAACAAUUCUCUUUUGAAGCGGCCCCACUUCACUCUCACAUAGGUGAUUUACUUAAGUCUUCAGUAAUAAAUUACUUUACUUAAGAAUCAUUAAAGCACACAUUGUGCUAUCCUUAAUUCUCCUUUGCGUCAUUGUUUCAUAACGGAAUGGGUUUAGGGGUAUCCCCCCACAAUGACUACGCUAAGUCCUUAUAAUUAGGUUGUCCCUUUGAACCUAGAUCUUGGGAUCUCCAGUCAGCUAGGUUGGGUUUCCUUUAUAACACUUAGCCUUCCAUGGGCUUUAGUCCCAUUCCCUUUGCCAUUUUUGCAACCAACUCUCUAUUCAAUCCUUUAGUUAGCGGAUCCGCUAUGUUAUCCUUUGAUUUCACAUAAUCAAUAGAGAUAACUCCUGUUGAGAGUAGUUGUCUAAUGGUAUUAUGCCUACGACGUAUAUGUCUAGACUUACCAUUAUAUAUGUUAUUCUGUGCUCUUCCAAUUGCUGAUUGACUAUCACAGUGAAUACAAAUUGGUGGCACAGGUUUCUCCCAUUUUGGAAUGUCUUCAAGGAAAUGGUGGAGCCAUUCAGCUUCUUCUCCACAUUUGUCCAAGGCAAUGAACUCAGAUUCCAUUGUAGAUCUAGCUACAAUAGUUUGUUUAGAAGACUUCCAAGAUACUGCCCCACUGGCAAGUGUGAACACAUAUCCACUUGUGGAUUUUGAAUCCUUUAUAUCAGAUAUCCAAUUUGCAUCUGCAUACCCUUCUAAAACAGCAGGGUAUCUAGUGUAAUGCAGUCCAUAGUUCCGAGUGUACCGUAGGUAUUUAAGUACCCUUAAAAUUGCUUUCCAAUGAUCAGCACUCGGAUUGCUUGUAAAUCUGCUCAAUUUGCUUACUGCAUAUGCAAUGUCAGGUCUAGUACAACUCAUUAAGUACAUUAGACUGCCAAUGAUUCUUGAGUAUUCUACUUGAGAAAUACUCUCUCCUCUAUUCUUAGAUAGAUGGAAACAAUUGUCUAAUGGAGUUUUUGCAAUUCCAGAAUCUUCCUUAUUGAAUUUUUCUAGAAUCUUGUCCACAUAAUGAGUUUGACUCAAGACCAAUCCAUCUGAUAUUCUUGUAAUUUUAACUCCUAAAAUUACAUCAGCAAGCCCCAUAUCUUUCAUGUCAAAUUUUGAAUUCAACAUAUCCUUGGUAGACUUGACCAUUUUGUCAUUACUACCAACAAUAAGUAUAUCAUCUACAUAAAGACAUAAGAUGACAUAGCCAUUGUCUGUUUCUUUAGUGUAGACACAUUUGUCACACUCAUUUAUUCUGUAUCCAUUAGUUAUCAUUGCAUUGUCGAACUUUUCAUGCCAUUUCUUUGGCGCUUGUUUUAGUCCAUACAAUGAUUUGACUAAUUUACAAACUUUAUUUCUUGCUCCCGGAGUUAUGAAACCCUCAGGUUGCUCCAUAUAGACUUCUUCAUCUAAAUCACCAUUUAAGAAGGCCGUCUUUACAUCCAUUUGAUGUAUCUCCAGAUUUCUCAAUGCAGCGAUAGCAAGUAUCAUUCUGAUAGAAUUUAUUCUCGUAACAGGAGAAUAAGUAUCAAAAUAAUCCAAACCUUCUUGUUGCUUGUAUCCUUUGAUUACAAGUCUGGCUUUGUACUUAUCGACAGAGCCAUCAGGUUUCAUUUUCCUUUUAAAGAUCCAUUUGGACCCUAAAGGUUUACAACCAGGAGGAAGAUCCACUAACUCCCAUGUAUGAUUCUGUAAAAUAGAAUCAACCUCACUUUUUAUUGCUUCUUUCCACAAAAAUCCUUCAGAAGAACUUACAGCUUCUGUAUAGGUUUGUGGUUCCUUUUCUAAUAGAAAAGUUGUAAAAUCAUCUCCAAAUGAUUUUUCCACUCUAGCCCUUUUGCUACGUCUCGGUUCAUCUUGUUGAAACAAGUCAUGAUCAUGUUUUUCUUGAUUCAUAACUCCAUGUGUUCGUUUUGAUGAACUUGAUGCACCAAUCAAUUUACAAGGAAACACAUCUUCAAAGAAUGAAGCAUUCCUUGAUUCCAUUAUCGUAUUUUUGUGUAUAUCCGAAAUUUCUGAAUUAUACACAAGAAAUCGAUAAGCAGUACUAUUAUGUGCAUAGCCUAUAAAGAUACAAUCCACAGUUCUAGGACCUAUCUUUAUUCUCUUUGGUGCUGGAAUAGCCACUUUUGCAAGACACCCCCACACUUUCAAGUAUUUGUAGGAUGGUCUCCUACCUUUCCAUAACUCAUAAGGAGUUUUAUCUUGUUUUUUCCGGGGUACCCUAUUUAAAAGGUAAUUGCUUGACAAAAUAGCUUCACCCCACAUAUUUUGAGGUAAUUCUGAACUUAUUAACAUCGCAUUCAUCAUUUCCUUUAGUGUGCGAUUUUUCCGUUCAGCAACACCAUUCGAUUGUGGUGAGUAAGGUGCAGUUACUUCAUGAACAAUUCCAUAUUUUGCACAGUCAUCACCAAUAGGUGUUUCAUAUUCACCACCUCUAUCACUUCUUAACCUUUUAAUUCUCUGGUUAAGUUGAUUUUCAACUUCAUUCUUGUAGAGAAUGAAUUUUUCCAAGGCUUCAUCUUUACUUUUGAGCAAAUACACAUAACAGUAUUUUGUGCAAUCAUCAAUGAAAGUGAUAAAAUAUUUAUUACCACCUCUUGUUUGAACAAAUUUCAAAUCACAGACAUCUGUGUGAAUCAAUUCAAGGGGUUCGGUGUUUCUUUCAAUUGUUUGAAACGAUGACCUUGUUAAUUUUGCUUCUACGCAAAUCUCACAUUUAUGGUUUGAAUUGAUGUGAAAGGAAGGAAUAUGAUCCAAGUUAAUUAGCCUACGCAAAGUAUCAUAAUUAACAUGACCUAGUCUACCAUGCCAUAAAUUGGAAGACUCAAGCAAAUAAGCAGAAGACUUAUUCUUAUUAUUCACAAUAGUCAUUACAUUCAAUUUGAACAACCCAUCGGUUGUAUAUCCUUUCCCUACAUACAUCCCAGAUUUGGAUAAUAUAACUUUAUCCGAUUCAAAAACCAUGCGAAAGCCAUGCUUGUUCAGCAACGAUCCAGAAACAAGGUUCUUGCGGAUUUCUGGCACAUACAGAACAUCGUUCAAAGUCAAUGUUUUGCCAGAAGUCAUCUUUAGUAACAGCUUCCCUUGACCUUCAAUAGCAGAUGAGGCAGAGUUCCCCAUGAACAUUUUUUCUCCUUCAAUUUUUUCGAAGGUAGUAAACAAGUCUUUGUUUGUGCAAACAUGUCUUGUAGCUCCAGUGUCAAUCCACCAUUCUUUCGGAUUUGACCCUAUCAUAUUUACUUCAGAAACCAUAGCAGUCAGGUUCAUGUUUUCCAUGUCUCCCUCGAUUCCAUCAAGCAAAUUUGUUUCAUGCUUCUUCUUCUUUGGAAGCUUACAUUCAGUGGACUUGUGACCUUUUUUGUCACAAUUGAAGCACUUACCUUGGAAUUUCUGCUUAGAGAUUUUCCCUUUUGCCCCAAGAUUUCGAGUUGGCUUUUUGCCUUUGGAGUUUUGCCCUUGCUUAUACUCCACAAUAUUUGCUUUAGCAUCAAGAAAAGUUGUUGCCUUGCAAUCAGAACCCCUGUUGUCUUCUUCAAUUCGAAGUCUAACGAUAAGGUCCUCCAUACUCAUCUCUUUGCGCUUGUGCUUGAGAUAGUUCUUGAAAUCCUUCCAUCCAGGAGGUAGCUUCUCAAUAACAGCAGCUACUUGAAAGGUUUCACUCAAAAUCAUGCCUUCUGCUAGAAUCUCAUGCAAGAUAAUCUGAAUUUCUUGCACUUGACUGAUAACAGUUUUGGAAUCCACCAUUUUAUAGUCUAGAAAUUUUCCAACGAUAAAUUUCUUUGCUCCGGCAUCUUCGGUUUUAUAUUUCCGAUCUAAGGAUUCCCACAGUGCCUUCGCCGUCUUGUGUAUUUGAUACACGUUAUACAGCGAGUCAUGCAAGCAGUUCAUGACAUAAUUUCGACAAAGGAAGUCGGAGUGCUUCCAAGCAUCAAUAGCACUGACAGCUUGUGCAUCAGUUAAGCCUUCAGGCAGCUUUGGAGCAUCCUCACUUAAGAAUCUCGAGAGAUUCAAUGUUGUCAAAUAGAACAACAUCUUUUGUUGCCAUAUCUUGAAGUUCAGGCCAUAGAACUUCUCAGGUUUCUCACUAUGGUUGGUAGACACCAUAGGAGUAAUCUUACCUUCAGGUUGUUUCACAAUUGAGCCAGAGGCAGCGGCAUCAGAAGUAGAAAUAUUGGUGUCUCUUCCUGUAUUGUCAGCCAUUGAGAACCGAAUCUGUUUUAAGACUGUUAUCCAAAUAGUAAAAUAGGCUGAUACAAAAGAGAAGAAUAAAUACAACCUAGAAAGAAAGUAAUAAUCGAAAAUAACAAUAAUAACAAUCCGAGGCUUGUGAACACAAUUUCCUUAAAACAGAUUCGCCCCCUCCAGGUAGAGUGCUUGAGGUUGAGUAGGCGUCUGUCUCCCAGGAUACAACGGAUUAAAGGUGAAUAUGUCAGCACCAAACGUUCUUCACCCCAGCGAACUCGAACUAGAGCAAUAUGGAACACUAUAAAAGAUGCAGAUGCAAGAAGGAAAAAGAGAGAGAGCGCACUUGCUUUUGAAACAACAGGAGAUAUUUAUAGAUGCUAGCUUAGGGUGACUGUUCGAAAUUGGCAACAAGAGUUAAAUUCCAGAUAAUUAUCUUCACGUUUAUGAAAGGAUCACAUUCAUGUACAUACAUGUAUCUCAAUAAGAUAACCCCAAAGGAAUCCUAUCCAAAAUUAUGUAUCAAUAAUUAAUACACAUGAAUCCUAUCCGAAAUCAUGUAUCAAUAAUUAAUAUACAUGAAUGAAAGAUAAUUAUCCUGAAUUCUUUCAAGAGUGCCAUUAUGAGAACAAUUUUCUCAUUCACUCUACAAUGAAUAUAGCCAUUUUUCCAACAAAUUAUUGGGUUUAGGGCUUCGAAUUGGGAGUUUGAUAAUAUUAACGAGAGAAGUUCUCUCUUCUUUCGUCUCUUUCAAAAAACCGAGAAAGCAACUAUUGAUGAACGAGUGAUAGCCUCGUGGGAAUAUAAAAGUCAAUCCUUUGUUACCCGUGUUAAUUAAUGAACUGGGCGGGUUAUUUGGGCCUGGUUUUAUCCAUUUGGAUAUGAGUUUGACCCUUGAGGCUAACCUAGUGGUCAUUGACAAUCUGCGUUAGAAGCUUGCUAUGCUUGUAUGUAAGUAGUAUAGUCCAAUGCGGAUUCUCCAUCUCCUCCCAUCAUCCCUUGUAAAGUUUUAGAUUAACGUUUAAUGUACAUAUAUUUUUAUAUGAUCUAACUUAAAUUUACACCACAUUAUUUGUAUUCACAUUUGAAAUCUUUUAUAUGUAUCAUAAAUGUAGACCUCCUUGUAUAUGAAACGGUAAUCCAAAAACUGUUUACUUCAUUUAUGUGCUAGUAUUUCAUAACAUAUUCAUUUCUUGAAGGUAAUUGCUCUAGUGUUUUUCGAAUAAUCAACGAUGACAACAAUAAAGAAGCAGACUACUCACAAAGAGUGACAGAGAUCAAAACAUCGAUGAUGAUCAAUUCAUCCAAAUAAUUUCAAAGAAGUUCAAAACUAAAAUUACACUAUGCUGUUAAGCUUUAGCUACACUGGCAACACCAGGAUCGCCACAGCACUAAAGUGAGAAAAAUUUGAACCCCAGUUACUGAAAUAUGGUCCACAGAUCAAUCUUCACCAAAUCUUCUUAGAACAUAAAAAGCUAAUCAAUUUCUAUAGCUCAAUGGUUAAAUUAACACAACCCUGACAGAAAAAUCCCAACUUUAGCAGAGAAAUACAACGGCAUUACAAGAAAUGAAUCCUCAAUAAUCUAAGACUUACAAAAUGGUCAAUCCUCUCUUAAUUAACCCCUAAUGCCUCAGGUGGCCCAAAUCUUUUGUGGCAUUACGCGAAUCACAACUAUUACAGGAAACAAGAAAAGGAAAUUAAAAAAAUAAAACCCAAUUUACCAAAAGAUUAAAAGGGCCAGUAUCACGGGCAAACGACAAUUAUAAAUUAAUUAAAAAAAACUCAGAGAGAGAGAGAGAGAGAGAUCAAAUAAAAAGCCAGAGGAGUAUAGCACCUUCGAUUUAGAGGGAAAUGGGAGAGGUCGGAAAAUGUUUAGAGAGAGGAGAGAUGAGGAGCGCAACGGAUCUUCUGUCCCACACCCUGUGCCACUCUCUGUCCCACUUUUUAUUAUAUUGCUAUUUCUCAUUCAUAAACAUCAUGUUUUAGUUCUUUUUUGCUUCCUUAUGAUCCAAUAACUAUUAAUUGAGUAAUACGCAAAAUUUAACAAACUCAAAAAAUCAAAAUACAUAAAAAAUGAGAUUUUUUAUGAAUUUUCUGCUGUAUUUUUUAAUUUUCUAUUAUAUAUUAUUUUUUUGAAGGUGUUGUAUUUAUUUUUUACUUAAUUAAUAGUUAUUGGAUCAUAAGAAAACGAAAAAGAACUAAAACAUGAUGUUUAUGAAUGAAAAAUAGCAAUAUAAUAAAAAGUGGGACAGAGAGUGGCACAGGGUGUGGGACAGAAGAUCCGUUGCGGAUGAGGAGGGUGGUGGUGGACGAUGAUGACGUUGGUCCAACACGCGUUGUCUGAAGAAAGGUUUUAAGGUGACAAGGAAUUAAGGGAGAGGCCCAACGAACGCAGGGUUUGUUGGCGGUAUUACUUCUCCACUUUACUCUUUAGUCUUUUCUGUGUUUCGGAAAAUUUUUACGCUACUAUAAUUGCUUUGAUUAAAAUAAUGGUACAAGGCUAUUUCUUUUUGACCCCUAGAAGUUUGCUAAUUUCUAAAAACAGUAUACUAUUUCACUGUAAUAAUUUAUUAAACACGUACAAAUUAUUGUGCUUGUGAUACUUAACACGUUGAACUCCAAUUCAUAAGUUUUCCUCUCUCCACAUCUAAUUGAUAGACUGUAUUGUAAACCAACUCUCUUGAUUUUGGUGAAAUUUUGCAUGAUCAAGUGAUUACAUCAACUAAUACUACUGAAUCUAGCAUCUUAUUUCUAUUAAUCAAGUGUAGGUUGUAGCAUUCCUGUACAACAUUUGAGUGAUACAAAAUGGGUCAAAUGAACUUGAUAUUGGAGAAAUUUUUGGUUUUUCAUCCAUGACGAUGGGCUAAUUAAAAUUGUAAUAGCCUCGUGGGAAUAUAAAAGUCAAUCCUUUGUUACCCGUGUUAAUUAAUGAACUGGGCGGGUUAUUUGGGGCUGGUUUUUAUCCAUUUGGAUAUGAGUUUGACCCUUGAGGCUAACCUAAUGGUCAUUGACAAUCUGCGUUAGAAGCUUGCUAUGCUUGUAUGUAAGUAGUAUAGUCCAAUGCGGAUUCUUCAUCUCCUCCCAUCAUCCCUUGUAAAGUUUUAGAUUAACGUUUAAUGUACAUAUAUUUUUAUAUGAUCUAACUUAAAUUUACACCACAUUAUCUGUAUUCACAUUUGAAAUCUUUUAUAUGUAUCAUAAAUGUAGACCUCCUUGUAUAUGAAACGGUAAUCCAAAAUUUGUUUACUUCAUUUAUGUGCUAGUAUUACAUAACAUAUUCAUUUCUUGAAGGUAAUUGCUCAAGUGUUUUUCGAAUAAUCAACGAUGACAACAAUAAAGAAGCAGACUACUCACAAAGAGUGAUAGAGAUCAAUACAUCGAUGAUGAUCAAUUCAUCCAAAUAAUUUCAAAGAAGUUCAAAACUAGCAGUAAAACAAUACAAAUGCAACAAAAUUUAAAGUAAAAAACUCUAACACCUUCAGAAUACUAUGAAUGUGGAGUAUGUCGAAACCAUUUAAAAGUUUGUAAAAUUUUCAAUCAGUUAAAUUUGAGAAGUGUAUAUCCUCUUUAUCAUGUACUUUUUGGAAUUUUUUAAUAAAUAGGUCAGAGUUUAUGUCCAACCUUACACCGUUUCUAGGUAAUUUUUUAUUAAAAAAAAGAAAACUAUUUACUUUCACAAAUUCUCAUAAACUAAAAGUAGUUUUAAUAUCUUGUUAUCUUUUCUUCAUGCGGGCCUAUUUGCCAUAACACGUGGACUUGCAAAAUUUACUUUGUCCUGCUUUUUAUUUUUUUUAAAAUCCUUGUUAAAUUUUGCAUAACCUCUUAUUUUCAAGCCAAAACCAUUGCCAUUACCCUUUAGUUUUUUUUUCUCCAACUCAAAAAGCCUUUUCCUUUUUGUGUUAUUCCUACUAAAGUAAAAAUAUAGAGAAGCUAAUACCUAGUUAGUAGUAACUACUAACUAGUAACUAGUAAUGGUCUCUAACCAAGUAAAAGUCCAAGGCCCAAGGCCCCAGGCAAUAAAAAGUUAGGAAAAGAUUAGGAAGCAUGGGCGGGUCAAAUAGCGGAUCUCACUUGUACGCAGCCACAGUAUUAACUUUCCCUAUCCUCGCCGCUAGGUGAAGACACAGUUCUCCUAGCUGAACCACAACGCAGCAUCUUCCGGUGGCAGCCAACGGCGAGGAUAUACUUCUCUACCUCUUUAUCCAGUAACGUUACUUUAUUUUAUCUCUCUCUUCUCGCCUUUUAUUUAUUUAUUUACUUUUAAUCUCACAAAUUUCAAUCUCUUGUAUGCAUCUUUGCUUUUUUUUUUUUGCUAUAAUUCUUAGAAUUGAUUGUACACUUUUAUUUUUACGUUUGUACUCUUGUAUGCAUCUUUGUUUUUUUUUUUUUGCUAUAAUUCUUAGAAUUGAUUGUACACUUUUAUUUUUACGUUUGUCUACGAUUUUUUAAAUUUUUUUUCUAAGCAUUGUGCUGGAUUUACUGGUAUAUAGUUACUGCUAAUUAAUUUUUAGUAGUUUUCUUGCUGGACUUUGGGUUUAGGGUUUUACGUAAGGAGCAUAGCAGGAAAUAGCAAUAGCAAUGAGUCGUAGCUUAGGUAUAUCGGUGAAGCUUCUACACGAAGCCACAGGACACAUCGUGACCGUAGAGUUGAAGAACGGAGAGCUCUACAGAGGCAGCAUGGUUGAAUGCGAAGACAAUUGGAAUUGCCAGCUCAAGAACAUCACUUUCACGGCUAAGGUACUCUCGUUCCAAUGUUAUUCUGCCCUUCAUUAAGAAUUGUGAAAGUGCUUUUCUGUUUCCGGUGUCUUUAUGCUGCUUUUGAGCUUCGUAAUGCCUUUUUCUUUCACUUUGAUUCCAAUGCAUGAUGGGCGGAAGCCUACGAUGAUUUUCUGUGGCAGGAAAAUUGAAACUAUGGGAUGUUAGUAAAUUGGAACUGAAAUCUAUUCACUCUUUAAGGGGGUAACAUGGGUUGGGUGGUGAAUGCUAUUCAGAACACGGGGACAGUCAGUUGUAUUUGUGCUCAAAAAUGAUUUAUAUAGGUUUUCCUAGUAAGAAUUUCAUGUUUGUGGCAAAAGUAUUUUAAAACUAUUAUUGGCAAUAUGUUCUCAUAUAACAAAAUUCUAUCCAACUGAAUUCCAGGUCGUGUAUUUUCUUUUUUUAAAUUCUUUGAUCUUACAUGCAAAACCGUUCUUUAAUAUGUGUUUUUUUUGUUGUGGGUUAGGUCUUUAAUAUGUGUUUUUAUUGCAGAUUUAUGCAUCUUAUUUUAUGACGUGUCCUUUAGGUGUCAGAUGCACGUCUCAGAUUUUACAACAAAUUAAGUGUCUUCUGCACACAUGCUUUAGAGUUCACAGAGUGUCAGGACUACUUGGGGUUGAGGUUGUAAGGAACUUUUUGACCUGUGGAUGCUCAUUUAUCAUACUUAUUUUAACUGACAGCUGGUUUUAAGAGUAUUCCUCCCUUGAUAAUUUCAUUAAAAUUGGACCUGUCAUUUUUGACAUUCAUAAGCAAUUAUUUCCAGUGCCAUAUAAUUUCUUCUACAUCAAUGGCUACAAAAUGUAAGAUCUCUUUUUGAAUUGUUGAUAGCUUAUGAACAAUCUCUUAUCCUUUCAUGGAUCUUUGAAGCACUGAUAUAAUUUACAUCUUCAGCCGCCUCAAUCCUGAUAUCUUCUUUUUUGAACCUCUGAACUGAAGCAAAUUAGCUUCAAGACUUCAAUUGUUUUUGACUGCCUAUUCCAGAUAUGGAGUUGGGUAAAAUUUCAUGCGAUUCAGUAAACAGAAUAUAAAUUCCAUCGUUGCUAGAUCAUCUAUAUAAUUCGGCGAAGAAUGAACUAAUAGUGGGAUUUUUUGAUAAAAUGUUUUCUGAUUCUCUCAACUGCUUUCUGAGUUCUGAUUGCGGGUAAAACAAAUUUUUAUCAGGUUUAUGGUGAUUCCCGAUAUGCUUAAGAAUGCUUUAAUGUUCAAACGUUUAGAAGCUAGAAUCAAGGUGCUUUCCCAAUUUGCCUAUGUGUAUUAGAGUGUAUUUGUGACCAUCACAGCUCUGCUUACACUUUUUAUAUUAUCUUUUGAAGGACAAGGGUUCAGCACUUGGCGUUGGACGGGGACGUGCUGUUGCCAUGAGAGCCAGGGUAAGAUCUAUUUCGUGACUUUUGCAUCUUAUACUCCAAGAUCAUUUAUUUAAAUCCAAAAGUUAGGAAUGACACUCCAUAUCUUUAUUGUAAGUUCUGAAAUGCAUUAUGAUCUAUUGUCAAGAAAAGGCAAUGCUGGAUAGCCUCUCUAGAACUGGGAUUUAACAAAUACUGUAAAACAAAGAAAAUUUAGUUGUAUGGAGUAUGUAAAAUGAUUAGCUUGGAGAAAUAUAUGGGGUUACAAAUUAAGUUUUGUGGGGUGAAGUUUGCCUGACUGUGCCAUCCGUGUAUGCAGGCUCAGGCUGCUGGUCGUGGAGGUCCACCUGGCAGGGGCGUUGUGCCACCUGUAAGGAGGUGAUCAUUCCAUAAUAUGAUUGUAAUCUUAAGAGCAUCAAAGCUCGUAUAUUAUGCACGGGAGAUCAUCAAACCCAUGUUCCGCAGCCCAAUUUGGUAUAGGAUAAUAUUUGGCCUUUGAGACCUUAAGAAUUAUGUACGCUUUUGAACUUGGCUAGUGCUCAUUUAGAGACGUGAAUGGUUUUCCAAUUUACGCUUCUGUUUUAGCUGAUUCUAAAAUUUGAUGUAAACCAAAUCGAUUGGCUGUCUGUUAGUCAUGUAGCGAAAGAAGUCGAUGUGGGAAGUCGUAUUCCGCUGUAACGUGGAAAUAGCAAAUUGCCUCCAUCCGUAAUUACUUGUGCGGAUGCAAAUAGCGAGCAAUGCAAUAAGCUUUUUGAAAAGGAUGGAUCCAGAGUUUGAAUGAUUAUCAGGAUUGCAAAGGCUAUGGAGGAGAGGUUAGUUUUUGGUGGUGAAACGUAGUUGAUAAUCCAGAAAUGCGUGUACCCUUUCAUUAACCGCUGCCCGGGCUGCUACGGAAACACCUUUUACUGCCUACUGGUUGGAAGAUUCAAAACUUCGUGGUUAUAUUGAAUGAGCGGCCAUUAGGCAGAUUAUUUGUGCCUCUGACGAAUUGAACUACCUUUGAAGUAGAAAUUAAAUUAUGCGAAUUGGAACCCUAUCCAACUCAUGGCCCUUUAAAUGAAAUGGAGCAAUUCUAACUCAGAUGUUUUUUGGCCCAAUGUGCACCAAAACAGACAUCUUGCUUGAAAUUCUCCAUUUUGGAAAAUCUUUCCUCUUUCGUCUACUGAUUGAGGGCUAUGACGAGAUAUAGCCUGGAUUGUACAUUCCUACUCCGUCUAUUUAUGCUCACUCACUAUAUCUGUAUGCAGCAGGAUGAUUGAUUUUCCAAGUCCAUUUGCUGGAUCCAGUAGCCAAAAACAAUAUGUGACUGACUAUCUGGAACAGUUGCAGGCUACAUUUCGUUUCCGCCUUAAAAUACACUCCUUUUUAUGAGUGAUGGAGCAAAGGUGUUUACUUCUGCAUAUUCAAAAAGUUUUAACGCCUUCUUAAGUUGGUGGAUAAAGGUGUAAAUAUCUGAUGCGAACAAAAUUACGGUUUAAAAGAUUUUUUUUUUUUUUUGGGGUAAGGUAUUCCACCUAAGGUUAAGUGGGUUUUCACUUUCAGUGCUUCAAAAUUUUAGUGUCCUCAGAUUUGAGUGCUUCAAAAUUUCAGUGCUUCAAUUGCCACGUUAAGUGGUUUUGCUUUAAAAAAUAUUCAGUCGGGUGCACGGUGGUGGUUCAGUCCCUUUCGAAUUACCUUUGGACUUCUUUAGCUCCGCCCCUCCCCCUAAUGUAGGAUAGAAUAGAUUUAUCGUCUCCGUUAAAAAAAAAAAUUUUGGAGACAUAGAAAAUAGACCAGUGAAUAGUCAUCAACCGUCUCCCUCCUCCUGACUCACUGGCUCGCUUCUGCUCGAAUUUCUUUCGCUGAACUUUCAUCGAACUCAUCUUGACCUCUGAUGAUGGAAAUUUGAUUUCGCCGAAGAUGCGUUUUAAGAAAAGUUGUGUUAGCAAGAAGGGUACUUUUCUUAUCUCUUUUCUUCUUCGCUGAUGCAUUUGUUUUCGAAAGUAGACUUUUGUAAGGAUAUUAUUAGCAAAAAAUUCCUAAUUUUAUGUUUCACACCGGCCCCCUUCCUCUCGAUUCACUCGAGAUUCAGGUUUUGAAAUAACAGCAAGUUAUACAAUAAUACCUUCUUUUGUUAUACUACUAUAAUACCGUAGUACUCUUUCUUUCUCGUGUAACAAUGACCACAAAGCUAAUCGCCACAAACCAAUCUAAUGUUCCACCAACCAAUUCUAAAAUUGAAAUUCACACAUCUGUCAUUCCCAAAAAGGAAAGGACUUCUUUAUCGCAAAAGACGUUAGUUAACAGUACUAGUAUUGUUCUCCAGAUUGUGUGGUGUCGAUGAAAGCCCGAUGAUGAAGACAGAAUUGUGUAAUAAAACUCUUCCUAGCACAAGUAGUCACGCUAUGAAUUAGAUGCAACAGAACUUCCCUACAGCUUAAAUCAAAUCCUAUCCAUCCCAAGUGUUUGAUUCACAAUUCACAAACAAGAGUCUCUCUUGCCACAUUAUUUCUAUGCAUGAACAGGCAUAGAGACACUGUACAGGCCACAGAAAGGGACUGCCAAAAUUCAUCUGUAUCAAAGCCUGGCAGCUGAUCUGGGAAAUAUAAUAGUGCAACAACCAAACGUUUGGUAUAAUUUUUCUUUAGUCUUCAAGCACAACAAAAGUGUUCUCCGAAUUGAAGUUCUUGAGCGGUAGCGAUCAAUGGUUUUGGCUCUCCAAAGUGCGCCGAUGGUACGUACUUGACGUUGACUUGGGUAUGGAAGUCAGAAAAUUCGACGGUGAAGUUGCCAAAAGAUGUCAAUUUCAGAUAAAUGGUUGGACCACUAAUGGCGAUCGCAAUGACUUCGAAAGAUUGACUACUAUUACAAGGGGGGGUUUAAUUUAUGCAUUGAAUAGGCCUUCUUUCUACUGAAAAUGCUUGUUUGACCCGAUGGGAAGACUUUUCUGCUUUUGUGUGAACAGAAAUUUCAACUUUUUUGCUUUAGUUUGACUUUCCAAUAUAUAUAUAUAUAUAUUCAUGAAAUGUAUGACAUACUAGCUAGCUUAAGGUGAUUGAGACUCAAAAAACAUAUAUAAUAAGUAUGUAAAAAGCUCCGACGCAGUUGCUUAAGUCUAAUUAAUUGAGUUCCAUUUCGACUGAAUCUUAGGAUUUAACCACAAAGCUUUUCUAGAAAUCUCAAUAUCAUCCGCCAUUUUUCUUUUAAAAAUUUAAUGCCAAUUCGUAUUUUAGUUGUAAGAUACGAGCUAAGUGAAUUAGUGAAGGGUCAAGUAAAACCCAAAUUUCGCAUUUCUACUGUUAUUAAAAGUUAACUUGUUUUUCAGAAUUGUAUAUAUUUCUGGGUUGUGUGGAUAAAUAAAGCAAAGAAGAAAGGAUAACUGCCUUCACUAAUUAGUCAUUCAAAUAUGCUAAGCUAAAUUUUUUGGGGGGGGGGGGGGGUAGGGGUCACUUCUAAUGCACAGCUUUAACUGCCAAACAGAGUGAAGAAAACAACUGAUAAACCAUAUAUACAGUCCACACGUUAAAGCAACUAAUUAAGCAAGUGUUAAUUAAAGCUGAUAUUAAGCAAGUGUUUGGGACAUAUCAACACGUCCUACUUUUUGAAGAAUGAAUGGAGGAUGAUGUGAGGGUUUAACGCCUCUCUUAUCAAUCAGAGUUUUAUUAGCAUGUGCUCCGCGUCUCCUUAAUUUCAUCAAAAGGGAAAUUGUUUUUGAUCAGCUUCUAAUUGCUACUACGCAUAUGAGUAUGGAUUUUCUUUAUUCGGUUCCCUCAAUAAACCCUAAUAGUAUUAGGUCUUACGUCCAAUCCAAAUCCAGAGACCAAAAUCUUAAUCUUCAAUUGUGUGAACUUAAUCAAACCAUUGAAUUAGGGGACCAUUUGGAGGUCCCAACUGCAUGUGCAAGGCAGAAUAUGUUUCCAACAGGUCCUGGUCGAUUUAUGAAACCAUGCCCAAUCAAUAUUUGAUGAUUGAUGGAAUUGAUUAACCUAACUUCUGUUCUACAUAAUAAAGCUCACUAAUUGACUUCCCUGCUUAAUGAUGAUCUGCAAGACCAAAAGCCAUUGCUUAAAACUCAUGCAGGAGAAAGAAAAUGAAAAUGAACGAAAAUCAAACUUCAGUGCGAUAUUAACUAUCACCGUCAAUCAAUCAUAUUCUUCUUUUUUUCUUUCAAGGAUUGCUCAAACACUCGAUGAUACAAUGAAUUUACUACGUGAAGGCAUGCACGUAUUCAUAUUUAUUACAUCUAUGUAUUUAGACAUUUUCUCAAAGUAAUCUCACUUUUACAAUGAAUUAAGCAGUACUCAAGGCCUCUCUUAACGAUUGACCCUUAUUAAUUACAAAUGCCGUCGUUAUCACUAUUGCCAUUGGUUCGGGUAACCUGGGCAAUUAGCAUACAUAUGGGACCUUUUGAACGCCAAAUUAUCACUUAAAAUAGGGAAAAAUCAGUAGCAUCCUUAUAGAUUUAUUGUACCAUAAAGUUUUUAACGGACAAAAAGAAUUUCAAUGUCGGAUUAUUUGUUUUUCAAUUAUAAGAGAAUUGAUGAGUACGUCCCUACAUUCUUUCUUUCUUUUUUUUUUCUUUAACAGAAAACCUUAGUUUUCCAUAAUGGCGUUUUUAUUUUCUUUGAUAUUGGAAAUAUCAUAAUGGCGUUUUUUUAGAGUAUUAUCAUUUUUUUUAAAAGGAUAAGAAGCAAAGACUUUAUUGGUAAUUCAUUUUACACCAUGAUGAUGAUGAUGUGCAAGUCCAAGUUAUGUAACUUCAAGUAUUUCGCUUUCUUUUAUGAAAAGGAGAAUGGGACUUGAUCCACUCAAGUUGCAUGUAACGUGUGAUCAUAGACUACGAAAAAAUAUCGGUUUCCAGGUCCACGGAAUGAAAUUGUCAAAGUGACACUAAAAACUUUGCGGUGCAUCAAAAGGUUGGUGAGUUGCUUAAUAUAUUUGAAUGUGUAUAUCAUUCAUCUUAGUAUGUACUCACAUCUGUAAUGCGAGAGUGCAUGCAUAUUGUAAAAAACAAGUUUUUUUUUUUUUUUAAUGUUGAGGCCUUUGGCUAUAUUGAGCUAACUCUUAAUACUUGUGUAAAUAAUAGUAAGCCAUUAGUUAGAUGAUUAUGAAAUUGUAUAAAUAAAAAUAUAUCAUUAGUUAGUUGAUUGUAAGGUCAAUUUUUUUUCUCGUUAUUUACAAUCCUUUCCAAUUUACCAUCUCACUCAACUCUUCGUAGAUCGUAAGACCACUUACUCGACUUUCAAUUCUUCUAUUUUUUUUUUCCUUCUCCAAGGACUCAAAAUCUCCUUUGAACCAAACAAAAUAAAAAGAAUUGCUUUUUUUGAAAAACUUGGUAGGUGUAUUCAGUUUAUUGUAUCAGAGACUGUAAGCAUAAGGACGUUGCUUCCGUUUAAGAUGUGCACCAAUGACUUACAUGGUUUACAGGAUACUAGGAGAGGAACACCGCACUAUGUGCGGUGUGAAGUUACAAGUUUAACGUGCCCAGUAGGAAGUUAAGAGGUUAAUAUGACCAGAGCCCUCAUUGGCUUUAUUUUCCAACUAAAAAUUAUUUUUUUAUCAUUUCUGUAUGUGGUAGAUAAUGAAGCAUUUUGUCAACAUUUCAAUUAAGAAAAGAAAUAAUACUAAUAAAGUUGAAGAGCAUAAUCACACAUAAUUGAGAUAAGCUCUCCAACUGUAUGAUGCAUCUCAUUAGCUGUGAAAAGUAAAAUUUAAGAUAUAAGAUACAUUAAUCCAGAAAUAUUGACUGCUAUAUCUAAAAAAUGCCUCUCGUCUUUCCUUAUCUAGCGUCGCGUUCAAUCAGCCAAUUAUAGUGGAACUAUGCAUUAGUGGUCAAAAUUUAAAAAAAAAAAAAAUCAAGACACAGUUUGAUAUCUAUACUAUAGCAAGUGGCUGUUGAAGUAAAUAAUGACUUUUGGUAAAGAUAUUGGAAAGGAUAAAACAAAGUAUCAAGCAUUCAUGACAAAAUUCCAUGAGCUUCCAUUAGCUUCCAAGUUCCAGCUAUCUAAAUAUCAAUCAGAUCUGACAAGAAGGAAUCAUAUUAGAAUUUAAUAACAUUUUGUGUAAAUAGUAGAAUGACAAUCUUGUUAAAUCACAGGUAACGCAUCCGUAGUUUUUGCCACACUUCAUGGCAAAAUUGUAAGGAAAUACUAAAGCAUGAAAUAUAAAACAAAGUCGUCAAGAACACAUUCCCUACUCCUAAGUUUAAGCCACCAAUAUAUUUGAAUAAUACCUCUUGCCAUUCAACUUUUUCUCAAACAUUAAUGUUGGAUAUAUAUAUAAAGAAUAGAAAGCCAAUAAACAGCAGAUGCAUUUUGAGCCACCAUCUUAUUUGGAUAAAUACCUCCUGCCAGCCAAUUUUUUCUCAAACAUGAAUGCUAGGUAUAAAUAAAGAACAGAAAAUCAAAAACAACAUAUGCAUUUGAGCCUAUAAAUCAUGUAGUUAUAUUUCAUUCAUGCCACAUUUUCGCAAAGACAACAUGAAUGAACAUAGGACAUCAAUUUAAAUUGAAAGAAAAUUUUCUCUUCUUUCGUAAAAAGCUCAAUGACAAAACAAAAAGCUCCAAAAAAUCAAGCAAAAGCUACAGAGAAAUUUCAAUAUAUUAGUUUGGUAUUUGUUAGAGUUUAUUUUUUAAAUCCUAAAACGCAAUCUAUUCUCUAUGUAAUUCUUAGAUUUUAAUUUUCUUUUUUACAUAAAGGUAUUAGAAAAUUCUAGUUGCCUAAUUGAGAAAAGGUGGAGAAGCUAAGGAGUAAUCACCACCUAUUGAUCAUUCCCCACUAUACACAAUUUGGCUAGAAAUUUAGGGCGGCAAUAUUUAAACUUACAACUGGGAUGGAGCACAUGAACAUUUUUUUUCUACAUACAAAGAUCUUAUCUUAAGGUUCUUUUAGCCAUUUCAGUUACAUCAUUCUGACUACUCAAACAUGAAAUCAUUAGGAGGGACAGGACAGCGAGUAACAAAAGCUACAAUCAGUCUAUGUACAUCAUUUUCUUAGAAAUUACUACAUCUAAAGAGUUAUUCAAAAAUGACACCAUCAAAGUAGAGAAAAAAUUUAUAAUGAUUUCAUCAGUAAUCAUAACUUUAAAUGAAAUAGGGUGAAAACAAAUGCUAUUAAACCUGGACUAAAGAUCUUAAAGGAAUGGAGCAGCCAAAGAAGACUUGCAACCUCUUAGUGAUGAAUUUACUAAAAUAGGUAAAAUACUAAAGAAACAGACUCUAAAUCAAAAGGAAAUGCAGUAUCUUCACAAAAUUUCAUACUCCACUUUUUCCAAGAAUAGUAAAUAGGGUAAAGUGACCAGAAAAUUAUAGUAAAAUGCUAAGAAAAAAAUGAAGAGAACACUAAAACAUCAAAAACAUACCAUUAAGGCUAAAUGGAAAAAUUAGCCUCCUUUUUGCUUUGUUCCUUCAUCUAACAAAAAUUUAGUAUAAAUAAAUAUCAGAAAAAUAAAAUUUAUUAGGAAAAAUAAAAGGAAAAAUGAAAUCAUAUUAACUUUUCUCUAUGGGAAAAAGACAGAGAGUCAAUACAAUGCUCACCUUGAGAAAAGAAUUCGCAAAUCUUAACAUCUCAAGCUACAACAAACAUUUGAAACUUAUGAGAGAGCAUAAAUAAUUAAUAUGUUAGACCAUCAAAUCUAUCAUAGGAUAUGUGAGACCACAGUAAGGAACAAGAAAAUAACAAUAAAGCAUAAGGAUUAGCAUGAAGUGAAGAAAUUGUGUUUCCCAAUUAAUAAUCAAACAUUAAGCACUAAACAUCUAAAAUGCAUUUCCAAAAUUUCACAUCCAGUUCAUACCGAUGCAAUACUUUUUCAAGUUGAAUAUAUUCCUUUUGUAAUAAAAUCCAAAAGCAUAACAUGCAAAGGACACAAAGGAAGGGAGAAAGGUGAUUUGUUGCUUUUAGCCAAGGAAAGAUCAGCAAAAAAAUGCCAGAAAAAAAAAACCAAAGGCAAACCUGAAGUGAACAUUUUGCCAAAAACUGAACUAUUCUUUCCUUCUUCAAGAUAUGCAUUAGUCUUCAAGAUAUGCAUUAGUCUUCAAGAUAUGCAAAUCAUGUCGAUCUAGGUAACAAGAAAACAAAACAAAAUAUUAACAGAUCAUGAUAUGUUUAGCGAGUUAUGGAGACUUGCCUGUUUUUUUUGAAACACCCUUUUAUUUCCUCUUCUUAGAGGCCGAGGGAGAUUUUUUGUGGUUCCCAAAAGAAAAAAAAAGAAUUAUACAGAAAAGUUAUGGCAAGCAAAAAAGGAAGAAAUUAUACAUAAAAAAGGGAAAACAAAGGUGAGAAGAUAAAACCUGUGAGUAGUCAGAUGAAAAAAUAGUGAGCGAUCUACAAGAUCACACAAAAAAUUGUGGUCCAAAAAAAAGUAACAAUUGAUGGUCAAGGAUGCAAGUAAUAAUGCAUCAGAAAAUGCAUGUCAAGGAUGUACAAAUUAAAGGAUAGAAUAUAGAGAAAAGAAUAAAAGAAAAGCAAAAUUAGAAUAACUAACCAGUGUGUAUGAAGAAGUCCAACACCGCACAACUGAAUAAUAGUAGAAGCUAUCAAAGAAACCACAAUCAUGUAAAAGAUAAUAAGAAAGGUGACAAAAAAACAAGAGAGUAAAAAGAGAAGCUGAUUCGGUGACAAUAAUUUUGAAGGGACAGAAAAAAAUUAAAAUGGUCGAACAGUGCUUGAGAAAAACAAAGAAGCAAGCAAGAAAUAAGAAACAAAGCAGUUUGACAGCAAUUCCGAAAUAUUUGAAGAAUUAGAGAAAAACAAAGGAAAGCGAAGCGUAAAACCAACAUGCUCACCAGGAAGCAGCAACGGCAACACCAGCACAAACUAAAACCAAACCAAUAAAUUGGGAAAAAGGAAGGUUCAAAAUAGCUAAAGAAAAAUGAAGAACAAUACUUAUGAGGUAGGUCUUUCUGUCUAGCAAAGAAACAAGAGCAAUAGAAUAGGGAAAAGAAAGCAGUAGAUGCACCGUUACCACUGAUCAUGAUGAUGAUCAGUAGAAAAUCUGGUGUGGAAAGCCAGAGAAACUGCAUAACCAUUGUGCAAAUGCAAAACACAAAACAAUGUCAAUCAACGGGAGCAAAAGAGCUAAUAGUUGACAACGGGGAAAAGUUAUUUUUUUGCAGAUUUACAGACAUAACCCAAGCAAAGGACAAAAAGACUACAAGAGCUUUUGAGUGGAAGCGUAAAUGCAGUCAGAAGGGAUGGGUAAUAUAGUGAACAGCUCAGGUACAAUCAACCAUCAACAAAAAGAGGCUGAUGACAAGAAGUGUGUAGCGGCGGAUGAAGAAAUCGAGAAAGUAUGCAUCAAAACCAAACAAACAAAAUACCAGCUACAAACAAAUGGUCCAUAAUUAAUUGCAAAGAAUUGGUAAUUAAGCAUGUUAAUUUAGAAAAGUAGUUAAUUACGAAUCAAUUAAUUAAGACCACCAAAAGCAAAGAAGAAAAGACUAAUGAGAAGCGUUUUCUGAAGCUGGAGCAAGGUAGACAUAUUAAUUAAAUAACAAUUAAUUGCAACAAAUUGGUAAUUAAUUGCGAUUUGUUAGGCAACAAAAAAGUAACGUUAUUAAUGAAUUAAUUAACAAUUAAUUGUUAAAAAAGGAAACCAAAUGUGAUUUGAUUGGCAUGCAAAAAAAAGAGGCUAAAUUUUGGCUAAUAACUACACAGAAUUGGUAAUUAAAAGCGAUUUGUUGGGUAAAAAAAAUAUUAAUAAUUAUAAAAACAGGUAAGUAAAUGUGAUUUAUCAAGCAAUAAAACUGUGAAAGUAUAACUUAAUUUCGGUGAAAUUAAUUGCAAAAAAAUUGAAUUAAACCUGAUUUGUUGGCCAACCCAAAGUAAAAGAGGACAUUUUUUAAUAAAUUUAAAAAAAAAAGGUAAUUAAACGUGAUUUUUUGGACAAGCACACAAAAGCUCAUUUUUUGUUAAUAAUUGCAAGAAAGUGAUUAAUUAAACGUGAUUUGUUGGGUAAAAAACGACACUAUUAAUUAGUUAUUAACAAUUAACUGUAAAAAAUUGGUAAGUAAAUGCGAUUUAUUGGGUUAAAAAAAUGGAGCCAAAAUAAUAAAUAAAUAAAUAAAUAAAUAAUAACAAUUAAUAGCGGGGAAUCAAUAACAAGCUGCCAUUUUGAGGUCCAAUAACUUGUUAUUGAGCUGCCAUUUUUUUCCAAUAACAAAGCACUUCCAAUCCAAUAAAAAAAAAAAAAGAAAAGGAAAAAAACCAAUGGCACGUGGAGCCAGAAUUUAGCGGCAGACUUCCAAGCCAGACGUCCAAGCAAAACAAAGAAAAGAAACAAUCGGCUGGACAACCAAUUCACGCGAGCGAAUUCACACGAAGCGACGAUCACCAAUCGGCCAAUGGAAGCCUGCCAUGUCAGCAAUCAGAACCCAAUUGAAAACCUCCCCAUUCCCGCAUAGACUAGAUAUGUUAAUUAUGUCUAUGUAAGUAGAUAUCUUUGAGCCCUACAAUCUUCAUAGGAAUAUUAUUGGCUUACCUUGUAUAUUAUUCUUAGUGCCCGUGCGAUUCUUCAAAUUGAUAUAUAACCACCAAAAUCGAAUGCAGCCCAACAUUUAUUUCAGAACACGUUUCAAUCUUCAACUUUUUGGACAAAAUGAUCGAACCAGAAAGAGAAACAAGUUUCGACAACUAUGUCAUGAUACAGUAUGCUUUCAUUUCAUGCAUGUCUUGGUUAGUUCCUUGAUUGCAGAUUAAUGCAGACGAUUGAUCAAGUACGUACUUUAACUGAAGCAAGUGUCUAUCAUGUUACUGCUAACGACCGCGGUAGAACUUCAUAACCUCAGACCAAGAACGAAUUUUAGAUUGAAUCAUAAGCCUUGAAAGAAUUCACCAGAGAAAUAAUGCAAAUGGUCAAGUUUUGGCGCAACUUCAUGGUUCGUAUUCAUAUGAAAAAGGGAAAAAAAAACGGAAAUCUGUAAAUCUCCGCUCUGCUGUAUCUUAGACUGUAACAAACAAGAGAAAUUUCCAAUUUCCAAAUUCGUGUAUAUAUAUAUCUCCACUAAUGAAAAAAAAACCAGACAAUUAGUUUCCACGUGGUCAGAUGAAGAAUAUCCCAUGCAUUAAACUACUUAGUUUAAAUUAAACUACUUAGUUUAAGUAACCGGUGGUGCCCAUCAUCCAUGUUAUAGUAGACCUUAAUCCACCUCUACAAAUGACAAGAAACUCCAUCGUGCUUCAUUAGCUCCCUUAAUUAUCUGAUCAUGGAAAAUAGAGAGCAAAAAACUUCUUCAUCGCAAGGAAUGGUGAGGCCCAUCUCAUGGUUGAAGCCAAACUCUUCUUCAGCUCGUUGUAACAAGCUCUGGAAUUCCGGGUGUUCCAGCCAAGAAAUGGGGAUGAUGUAUCUGGUCCUAUUUUGGCCAACAUAUACUGCAAAAUGGCCUUUUGGGACAUCAUGUGGAAGGCUAUUGUCGUGAUGAUCAUGACCCGUAUUCUUCCUUCCAAAACUUGAACACUUUUUGAGGAUUUGUUUGAGGGCCGCCGUUUGGGUAGCGGCAUGUUUUGUUCCUUUCUUAAGAGCCAUGUUUAUGGACUUUAGAGGAAAAAGGCUCAGCUAGGCAAAGAAGAGAUAGAAAUUGUAUGUAUUAAGAGGAAAAAGUGCUAAAGAGAAUGAAGGAUUGGAAGGAGGUGGGGAUGAAUUGAGGAGAAUGUGGAGUAGUAGUAGUAUUUAUGGGAAAAAAGAAGAAGACGGAGAGAUUAUCUGCGAAACAAAGACGUGGAGUGUGGGGGCAACAAACUAACAGGGCUUAGAUGUUCUUAUUUGAGAAGUCUUGUUCAAGGCCAUGCAAACUCAUUCCCCAUUUGGCCUUUUCCCGUUUUCUUGUUACCCCUCCCGUAGACAAAUAGGACCACUAUACUCUAUACUCUAUACCAUAAACUCCAAUCUCCGUUCAUCAUAUGUGUGUAUUUGUGUUUUGGACAGUGUGAUUGUGCAUGAAAUCCCCAUUUUAUUAAUGACUGAUCUAGAGAAUUAGGAUAUGGUACAGUCAGAUUGUUCCAUAUAUGAUAAGAUAAAAAAUUCAUAUCUUUCUAACUAUAUCCUAAGUGUCUUUUCAUUUCUUAUUAUUGUGGGUGAGAAUCAUUCUUGGGUAAUAAUUUGGAGGUUCAAUGGGUUAUGGAUUCCACACCUUUUCAAACUUGAGAAAAAUCGUCUAGAUUUUGGGACCUAUGGAAUACAAGGCUUCCCUCAACAAUUGGAUUCGAUCACCUCUUAAAAGUUCUAAGGUAAUGGAAACCAAUCUUCAAUACCUAAACGGCGUUGAGUAAACUAUGAAAGAUUAAAACAGCAAAAGAUAAAAGAAGAAUAAAAAAUAAAAUUUGAUUUGUGUUAUAAAUUUUUUUUCUCAUCAUACCAGUUUAAACAAUCAAAGCACUUUGUAGAUUGAAAAAUUCGAAAAAAUAUGCCCUAAAUGAGAUAUAUCCUUUGCAAUUAUAUAAAUUUUCAUAUUAAAAAGUGAAUUUGCCAAAAAUUUUGUUCCUCAAUAUAGGAAGUAUGUCUACAAAAUUUUGAAAAACACAAAAAAUAAAGCAUAAAAUUCUAAAUUUUUUUUAAAAAAAUGUAGUAACGCAUAGGAGUGUCCUAUUGAAAAGAUCAAUCUCACGGAGCUCAUAUAUGCAUCAAAAUUAUCACCCUUUUUUAUCUCGUUUAAUCUCCAAUCGCAUACCAUGUCAUACCCUAUCGCUGUUGCCAAUGCUCCAAUUAUGAUAAUUUUCAGUAAAAUGACAAUAACACUAGAUUCAAGAAAUUUUAGGCUAGCAAAUUCUAGAGAACACGGAAGAGAAUAUUGUAGAAAGUGAAAAUAAGCAGAGACUAUAUGGACGGUGGUGGUCGUCAUGGUAUUGGGGGUGCGAUGAAGGGCGAUGAGAUGAUGGUUAGAACGAUGGCGGGUGGGAGAAGGUAAGAGGGUGGCCGGCAUUGUACGAGUAAAAACUAUAUAGAUGGUGGUGGUCGUCGUGACAUUGGGUGCGCAAGAAAAAGUGAUAGGAUGAUGGUUGAAACGAUGCCGGCAUUCUAUUUUACUUUUUUAGAAGUAAUUUAAACCAUAUGGGAAAUAGGAGUAUUUAAUUCUUAUAAUUUUUUAUUUUAUUUUAUUUUAUUUUUCAUUACUUUUUUUAUUUUGAAAUGAUCGAAUGGGUCGGGAGAGCGUUAUCCCAUGAUUUUACCAAGGGAAUUAAUGAAAUUAGUUAGCGAUGGUAAUCUCUAACACGACAUGAUAAUACUAUUCGAACAUAAUUCGAAAUUAAUAGAUUUUAACAUGGUCUAGAUUUUAGUGGGUUAUUAUUGGGUAAUCCUAUUAGUGACACGAAUGUAAGCGAGUUGGAUUGGAUCAACUCAGGUUGACAUGCUAAUCGACAAAAUGCUUACUUUCACAUAAAAAUUAAACAUUACCAAGGCCAAUUUCAGUAUUUAGUAAAAAUCAGAAACAAUUAAAUUUGGCUCGAAGAUUGUAACUAUAAUUUUCUCCAUUUCCUAUGAAUAUACCUUCUACACAUUUUUCAAUAAUCUUUUAUUUCAUAUAUAUCACAUACUAAAAAGUGUUAAUGUAAUUAGUUCCGUAUAUAAUAAGAUAUAAAAAUUCACAUCUUUCUAACUAUAUCCUAAGUGUCUUUUCAUUCUUUAUUGUGGGUGAAAAUCAUUCUUGGGUAACAAUUUGGAGGUUCAAUGGGUUAUGGAUUCUACACCUUUUCAAACUUGCGGAGAAUCGUCUAGAUUUUGGGACUUAUGGAGUACAAGACUUCCUUCAACAAUUGGAUUCGUUCACCUCGUUAAAAGUUCUAAGGUAAAGGAACCAAUCUUCAAUGCCUAAACAGCGUUGAGCAAACUAUGAAAGAUUAAAACAACAAAGGAUAAAAGAAGAAUAAAAAAUAAAAUUUGAUAUGUGUUAUAAAUUUUUUUUCUCAUCAUACCAGUUUAAACAACCAAAGCACCCUGUAGAUUGAAAAAUUCGGAGGAAUAUGCCCAAAAUGAGAUAUAUCCUUUGCAAUUAUAAAAAUUUUCAUAUUAAAAAGUGACUUUACCAAAGAUUUUGUUAUUCGGUAUAAGAAGUAUGUCAGCAAAAUUUCAAAAAUACAAAAAUAAAGCAUAAAAACCUAAAUUUUUUUUAAAAAAAUAUAGUAACACAUGGGAGUGUCCUAUUGAAAAGAUCAAUCUCACGAAGCUCAUAUAUGCAUCAAAAUUAUCACCCUUUUUUAUCUCGUUUUAUCUCGAGUCGCAUACCAUGCCAUACCCUAUCGCUAUUGCCAAUGCUCCAAUUAUGAUAAUUUUCAGUGGAAUGACAAUAACACUAGAUUCAAGAAAUUUUAGACUAGCAAAUUCUAGAGAACAUGGAAGAAAAUAUUGUAGAAAGUGAAAAUAAGCAGAGACUAUAUGCACUGUGAUGGUCGUCGUGGUAUUGGGGGUGCGACGAAGGGCCUCCAUGAGUUGUUUAGUGCCUCAUCCAUGCAACAAGUUGCUUCCAUUUUAUCCAUACAAGAUGAUCCAAAUCAAUGUUAACUAGGACUGGAUUUUACACCUUUGCACAAUUAAGGUCCCAAUGUGAAAUUCCAUGACCAAAGGCUAAUUAGAGAGUUUUGGAUUGCAACCUGGAAUUCUCACAAGCUCUUUCCUACCUUGGCGCAUGUCCUUGUUUGAGAGUCUCAUGAAGUUGACCAAAUGACAUGCGACAUGACUUGUAGUCAUUUAUCUAUUUCCAACAUUGCUGUCCUUUAAAUGCACCGUCGAUUUGUGGACAAAUUGCUUUCAAGAAGAGAGGAAUGAUAUGAUUCGGAGCCCCCCCAACUCUAGUCCACAAAGAUCUCACAUACGAAAGAUAUUCAAAGUUUCAAGUUGUUCAUUUGGUCUUGUUGAGUAAGGACUUAUUUGUCAUUUUAGUUGCUGUUUAUUUAUUUAUUUCUUUUUAAACAAAUUCGGCCAAAAUAGCCUUCUAGUUGGCCGAACAAUAGCCCAAACAAAUCCUAGUCUAGCCGAGUUUUUACUUAGGUAUUUUUAGUUCAAGUGAAUCCAAUUCACUUUAGAUCUAGUUUAAGUGAAUCCAAUUCACUUUAGAUUGUCAAGUGUAUGGCUAUAUAUAGCCAAGGCAAGAGACCUUCCAAAUCAGUUUUUCAAUCAAUAAAAUUGUGAGAUUUCACUUUUCUCUUUCCAAAAGAGAUUCUUUGAAUAUUUGAGAAUCUUUCUCAAGUUAUUCAAGUGAACUUAUCAAUCAAGUAACUCCUUGAUUGUGACGUUCCUCUAACUAUAGUUUGGUUCGCUAAUUCGUUAAAUAGUGGGUUGAGAUAGUAUCAAUAGUGUUCGCUACUUCGGGGAUUAGAUUGGGUCAAAUUUCCACUGCCAAAUUGUUGGUGAUUCGUUGUCUAGAUCGUGUCAAGUGAGGUAUCACAUCACAACCUUAUACAAAUACAUAUGAAAUUUACUAAUACACAAGAGCUUAAACAAAAACAAAACUAAAACUACCUCAACUCUUUCUCCAAAAUCACGCUCCCAAACUUUGUCCCCUGUAAGGAAACAAAGGAGAAUAGGGUGAGCUUUCGCCCAAUGAGGUGCCAAAAGGUCACGCAGUCACAAAUCACAUAACUAACUUUUAGUCACUCAAAUAUAAGCAUCAAAUAAUGAAAUAAGUAAACACCACAAUUCAUACAGAGCGUUCAAGUAAAGGAUAUAGAUGACUCUCAAGAGCUAAUUUCACCGUUGCAUUAACUUGUUCCAAACCGGUUGACACUCCGUCAAUGUUUAUAGAGACGAAACAAUGACCGUAAAUCUCCACUUUACACCAGUUUUUUGUCCACCCAACAUACCUCUUACCGGUCCCAAACACCAAACAGAAAUAGUGGUGGUAAUACUCGAAUAUACCCAAUCAAGAACAAGUAUGGUUGAUGAGAUAACUUUCCAAUUGACUUAAUCAAGAUAGAGGUAUUGAGACGGGAAUGAGAGGCACCCCCCACUCGAAUUGAGUGUGGUACAUACUGCCGUUCAGCACUAGGGUCGAUGAGCCAACCCUCCAAUCGAUUUAAUCAAAAUAAAAAGUAUUGAGAUGGGAAUGAGAGGCACCUCCCACUCGAAAUAAGUGUGAUACAUACUGCAACUCAACACUUACAAGUCAAGCACAAACACAAAUACAAAUACAGGUCAAUCAAGUUCAAACAAGUAUAAGAUCAUUCAAGAAGGGGAGGACGAUUGUGAUAAAGUACACCCUCGCCUCAUCAAGUUCAAUAUUCAACACAAUACGUGGUAUCAUUCAAAUCAAGAUAUUAAGAAACAUGCACUUGACACUCACCAGUUUAAGCAAAAUAACAUCAAAAGUUCGCCCCCGGGUUAUGCUCUUGAUCACCAACAAAUCCUAAGAACAACCAAGAUAAAGUAUUAUGGUUCAACCAUUCAAAACUUAGGUGAACCAAAAAAAAUCCAAAUAACUACUAGUGCAAAGGUGUAAAUAUGGUUUUGGAGUGAAAAGAGAACAUUUGGACCCAAAGGACAUGAGUAACCAAGGAGUUCCUCAUUCCAAUUCAUGGCUAGAAUUUCUAGCAACAAAUAGCUAAAAAGAUAAUCAACCUCGAGCUUAAAAGCGAAACAAAUGCAACUAGAAAGAAUGCUAGAAAAAACUAUCACUUUUCCUCUUAUUUUACACAUGAUUUUGUCAAAAUUUCAGCUUAUACACUACCAUCAAAGUGCACUCAAGAACUCACAUGUAACCUAAGUCCAAACCAACCCAAAAUCACCCCUCUAACAUCACUUAUUUUACAAGAAAGAAGGUAAAUAAAAUUUCAACAGCACUUCCCCUAUUUUCUUCACUUUUCCAUCCAAACUCAACACUUAUUUUUAUCUCAAUCUAACCUCAAUCACAACCACAAGUUAUAGGCUAUAAAAUACCCUUGUUUAAGGCCAAAAAACCACCCAAAAAUAGCCAAUUUCAAACUCAAGAAUCAACUAUAACAAAGCUGAAAUUUAUAACCCUAGGCUGAAAUUUUCAACUACAAGCUGAAAUUUUCCAUAAGCAAGCCAUAAUAACUUAUAAAAGCUAGAAAAUUCACAUGACAAAUCUACUAAAUCAUGGCCAAGCUCAAAGCAUCAUUAUAAAGCUAAAAUUUCACCAUCAAAAUUGAAAUUUUUGAAUCACCACCCAAACCAUGAAAUUUCUCAUGAAAACUACCAAAAUCAAUCCCUAAAUCCACUCUUAUGUAAGUAUUAAAAGAAAUGAGAGUUUCUUGAUAUAGUUACCUUAAUACCCUAAGAAGAAAUGGAAACCAAAUGCUUCUUUCUUUCAAAUCAAUCCACCAAAGCCCUUAAUCCUCCUUAGAUGUCACCUUUUAUGGAGUAGUUUGCAAAAUCAAUGGUUAAAACUCAAGAUUCAAACAAGAUUAGAAGGUGAAAAAUGAAGUUUUUCUCCCCUUUUUUUCCCUCAAAGUUUCGACCAAGAGAGGUAGAAAGAUGAUAGCAUUUUUGUCAAUUUUUUUUAAUUAAAGGUUAAGAAAGGUUGUAGUCAAAGUCAAAGCUCCAUAAAUUUUGUGACAAAUGGCAUUCCAAGGUUAAUCAUCAUCUUAUUGUCUCCCAAAUGCUAAAAUACCUAGCCAAUCUCUAAUUAUCCCCUAACACCUUAUAAAAUAAUAUCUCUUUGUAUGAAACUCCUCUUGGUUUUCAAAAAAAUUUAUCGCACAUACCGCAUUAGUGGGUGUUACUUCCAUAAUUCACUUCGAAUUUAACAUGAACUAACUUAUAAAAAAAUGCUUUAAAAACUUGACUUACUUAUAAAAAUAUCUAGAAAAUUAGGGCAAUAAAAUAAAGUAAAGAAAAUGUAUUUGAAGAAAUAAAAUAAAAUAAAAUAAAGAAAUUUUUCGAGUUCUCAAAUCUUUCCUAUCUAAUAUCUCUCUCAAUUUUCUCUCUGAACUUUCCCGUGAUUUUUUCUUUACGUUAUCUUUCUUUUGUCAAAUGUAAUUCUGAGAAUCCAAUAUUUAUAUUAACAGCAUCUAAAACUUCAGUAUCAUCCUUGAUAUUGUUUCAGUGGAUGAAAAAUAUUCUUCUUGAAUUGAUAAUCUCAAGGUGAACGAAAACUAUUCUCUUAUCUUUCUAUUGUGUAUUUUUUGCUACAUUCCUAUGCCUUCAAAAAAUUUUGAAUACUAAUUGUUUAACAAAUGAUUUCUCACACCAUGUGUUUGAUAAAAUGUCUAGGAGGAACCACUAUAUAACAACAUAGAUUCGUGCCUAGGAUGCCAUUUGCCUUUUAUGCUUGUUGAUUACAUAUAUACUAAUCUAGUAGUUUUUAGUUUGCAAUUGAAAAUUUGAAAUUUUCAACUUGAUUACUUUUUGUAAAAGUUCUUUUCAAGGAGUAGGAAGGAUAACAUAAACAAAUAUGAUAUCCUUGAAAUUUUUGUAAUUUUUCUUGUUAUUGCUUACAAUUUUCAUUGCAAUUUUUGUUGCAAUUUUUAUGUAUUUUUAAAUUUAUUUUUUGAAAAUAUAUGCAAUAGGUUUGAUACAUUUAAAAAAAAUGCAAGGACCAAUAAUAGUAAGGUUAAUAAUGGUAGAAUUUAUUUUUAAUAAUUAUAAGGACUAUCAAAUUACGCAAUCUUCUUGUGCCUCUACAAUAAAAUUUUUUAAAAAUUUUUAGUUCAUGUUGGAAACUAUAGCCUACAUUAAAACUUUUCUUUCUUGUUAUCCUACAUGACAAUUAGGAUAAUUAGAUGGCAACAAUAAUAUCAUUAUGGGAAUAAAAUUUGAAAGUGAAUCACAUUGGGAAUAUUUUUUUAGAAAGAGUGUUAUUUUGGCAAAAAAACUCCUACGUCUUUUAUCAUCUUUAGAGUCUCAUUUAAUAUCUACUUGAUCAACAUCAAAACCUACAACUAGUUGUGUCUCAAAUCACCCCCUCUUAUUAUAUUUACAUGUACUAUAUUUUGACUAAUUUCAAUUGACUCUAUUGCUAAAGCCAAUAGCAUUCCAAUUCCAUCAUGAAUGACAAUCUAAUUGUGCACAAAAAUAGGUAAAUAGUUAUAGUUUAAGUCAUAGUCAUCCAAAACUUCAUGCAUAAGAAUGUGUAAUAUAUUCAAUGUUUUAAACUAAAAUUGAAAUACGAAACUACCAUUGAACUAAAGCAUCACUUUAUGAACUUGAUUUUGCCAAAAAUCGAAGUAAAAUCAAAUUAGUCAAUUCCUGUUUCCAAAUAGAAUUCAUUUUGAUUUAGGAAUUCUAUUAUUCAAAUUGUUGCUUAUUCUUUCAGGACAUAGCAUAGCCAUGCAGUAAAAAGCAAUAAAUCAAUAUUAGCUUAUACAAAAGCAAUUAGCAGGAGUUGUUUGUCCAGGGUGGUUCUGUUUCUAAGUGAAGUUAAAUUUCAUUCAGAGAUUCCAUUAUUUAAGUCAUUGCUUGCCUCUUAAGGACAUAGGAUGGCCGUGGAUUUAAAAAUCAACAAAUCAAUAUUAUCCUUGUUUGACAACUAUUAGCAUGAGAUGUUUGUGUAGGGUGGUGUUUUUUACAUUUAAUCAUUUUAAACCUUAUAAGAGGAAAGAGGAUGAUGAAAAGUCAAAUUAAGAUUUCACAGUUAAAUAAUUAAUUCUGAGCUUAACUGAAUGUUAACAAGCAUAGCAUAUUUUCCACUUACUAAAACAUUUGACUAGAUGUUGUCAAAGUCCUAACUGAUAAAUAAUAAAAUUUUGGACUAUAUAUUACAAAGGUUUUUGUACUUAUUUUCUUUAAAAAAAUAUAUAACUAGAUCACAAAAAUUAUACCUAUCUAGUACUAAACCAUUUUUAUGGCAACCAAUUCAUUACUAAUUUUAUUUCCAUUAUUGAAUUUAUUUAUUGUUUACCAAAAGUGUUCUCAUACCAAAGGUCUAUUAACUUCUAAUAUUCUCCAUAAUUUCUUCCGCUUUUGGUUUUCUGUAGCUAUAUUUUUCCCAAUUGGAAGAAAAGUGUGUAGUAUAUAUAUAUAUAUGCAAUAACAUUUGACAUAACAAUAGUUGCCUCUAUUCUAGACAUUUUUUUCAACAAAAUUGCAACUUAUCAGCCUUUUCCAUUUUCACUUGCAGCCUUAAUAUUUUCAAUAGGAUCUUUUUUCACUAUAAUCAAAAUUUUUUUUAAAAGAUUGAAAUCUUCUUGUAAGGUCUAAAAAGGAGGGUGAAUUAUGUAGUUCACAAAUUUUCAAAUUCAAAACUAACUUUAUCCAAGUAAAAAAAUUUUCCAUUCAAGUAUUGAGAAAAUAAUAGUAUAAGAAUAUGACAAUCAAACUCAAUCAACAAACUGUACGGAAGCAAUUAAAAAAAUAAAAGGUAAAGGAAUAAGAUAUUCAAACCGAUUUUAAAGUAGUUCGGCCAUCCUCGGUGCCUAUGUACACUCCAAGUUUCUUUAAGUUUUAGUAUUUCUCCACUAAGUGUCUCUUCAAAUGUAAGUGAGACAAUAACCUUAAUGCAUAGAAAUGAGGCUCAUUCUUACUCACAUUAAGUAUCUCUACUCUAAUUGAGUCAAGAGUUUUACACUCACAACCUCUUUUUAUCACAAAAGUUAUCUCUCCACUCUUACACUUGAAGAACACUCAUUUUAAUUUUACAAAUACAAGAGUUUUUACCAAAAUAGUUUCUCUAGGUAUACCACAAUCUAAGGCCAAGAACUUUUUCAUUUGGGAAAGUUUGGGUCUUUUAUAGGUGCAGGAAAAAAAAGGAGAAAUAAAGCUCCAAAAAUCAAAAACAGAGUUGCUGAAAAUUAGCCGUUAGACACUAUGACUGGUAGUUCAGUCAGCCUAAAGGAGUUCAGGUGGUCUAAUGGAGUUCAACAAGUAGUUCGGCAGGCCUAAUUUCUCCUAAAAGCAUUUUCCAUUUUUUGCUUCAAUACUACUACAGUAACUUCGGUCAUAUCCUACAGUAACUUCGCAUGGCUGAAUACUAUAGUGCCACUGUUCAUUACUAUAGUACGACUAUUCAUUACUACAGUACCACUAUUCACUGUUAUAGUACUUUUUUCCAAUUAUUCUGAUUUUUCUUCUUUUCUUCAAUUGUUCUCAACUCCUUUUUCUCAACAGCUUUUCUUGAUAUAAUUGAGAUUUAGAUCAAAAUUUAAAUCUCUAAUUUCUAUACUCUACCUCAUUGAUACUUUGGAGCUUUCUUCAUCUCUUUUUAUCUUCAUUCUUUGGUGGAAUACUAGAAUAAAGACUUUCUUGAUCUUGUUUGAUACAAACAUAAUUUCUUAUUCAUUUGCCACCUUUCUGUGUAUUGUUUCACUAUGAUUUUUGGGAUGGCCAAACAUGCAUCCACAGUUUCAUUUCAAUUUCAUUACAUGCUCACUUCUUCUCCAAUCAUAUUUAUACUUUGACAUUCUCUUCUUUGAUCCAUUUAGAGCAUCCUACUUGAUGAGUUCUAAAUUUGAGUUCACUUCAUCUAACAAAUCACUUAAUUGAACUAUUAGUAUUUCACAUCAUUAUUUAUUAUUCAUCAAAACAAGAGCUCAUCUAGACCAUGUGGUCUUCACUUUUUUACUUACAUUUUUUUGAAAAUGUUGUCUCUUAUCACUCAAAAACUCACAUUUUGGUGAUCUAUUCCUUUUUUGGCUCUCUCAAUUGACAAAAAUUCAAGUAUUUUAGUUGCUCUAAUUGGAAAACCAAAAAUAACUCAUAUAUUAAUUCUUAUGAUGUUGUUUGAUAAUUAGGUUUCAACCUCAAAAAUGGGUUUCAUGCUUAAUCACACCUGUGUAUAUAUUCUUUGUUUAAGUCCAAUUGGAAUUAAUCGAUGGGUAUGACAGUUUCAUUCUAUGAGUUUUAUGCUUGACUAAUUUCUAAAAGUUUAUUAUCUUGAUUGUCCAUCAUUUUCAUUUUAGCAUAAAAGAAAAUUGGGAACGUUUGUUGAAAAAAAAUAAAAGAAAAUUGGGAAAGAGGAAAUUUACAAAAAUCUUCUCUUCUUCCUUUUGCCUUCAUUCUCAUCCAGUCACCUUUUAAACUCUCCUCCUCUCUCUCCUCACCUUUUACUCUACGCUUCUUCUCUCUUUUCAACCCUCCCUUCCAUCUCUCACCUAUCUUCUCAAUCAAUCUAUAUAUGAUCUCUUUCCAUAUAAAUUCCUCCUAUGAACCACCUGGUAGCGACUUUGUUGUGGUAAAAGCAAUGGUUAAGCAACAAGCAGAAUAAAAACUUAGUUAUUGAUGAUAUGAUGAGGUUUUUUAUAUAUUUGAUGGGGUUCAAGUACCAAAAUUUUGUUAGAUCUAAGAUGAAUUAGGUGAAAAUAGUGUUCCCACGUCCAUGGUUUUUUAUAUUUUUCUCCAAAUUCAAUUUUUCAAAAAAUGUUUAUGACAUAAAAUUAGAAAAAUGAUGUAUUUCUAAUGGGUUUUGAAUGUUAAUGAGGGCUAUUGUGUUUUUUUUCAUUUGAAGACCAAAUUUUGACAUUUAGAAUUACAUAUAUGGAUUCUAUUCAAAGGAAAUUAUUUGAAAGACUACCUUGAGCUGUUAAGGACUAUAAUGGAGUUGUUACUAGUAGCUAGAAUUCCACAUCAAUGGCUAAUGUACGGUUAGAAGUUAAGAGCAUGAUUUACUUAUUUAGGGCUAGGUUAGAAGUGAAGAGUGUGAUUUACUUAUUCAGGGUCUUGGUAAAAGAAUGAAGAUAAGAGGAAAUGGAAAAAAGAAAAAGGAAAAUUUGAAAAAUGACAAAGAAGAUGAUAAAUUCUAAAAACUCAUUCCACAAGCAUGUAAUACCUAACAGCCUUUGAGUUUUGAAUAAAACCCAUUCUUAUUCAUUAGUUAAUGAUGGUAAUAGUGGUAAUGAUUGUGGAAUUCAGACCAAAUGGUUAUUUGUUAAUGUGCAAAAUUUUGCUGGAUAUUGUCCUUUUUCUAUAAAGAAAUGGCAUGCAUGACUAUGAAACAGAAAAAAUGAUUUCUUUUUUGGUUGUAGAGAUGAUGACCGUUAAUGUAGUAGUGUUGGUCAGUAAAUUGGUUCUCGAUUGCUUAAGAAUUAGCUUAUAAUAAAUCUUCCCAUUUCACAGUGGCAUGUUUAAUUAUUUUUAUCAAAGUUUUAUUUUUUGGGUUCAAACUAAAUCAAAUUUUUUUUUUGGUAAUGCUUUACUUAGUAGCUAAAGAAUUUUAUGAAGAAGAAUAUACUAACAAAAAAUGAUCAUUGUUUGAGUUUAAAUAUGGGUGAAUUUCAGUUUAGACCUCAAAAUAGGCCAAAAUUUUAAUUCAGCCCUUGAAAGUGUGCAAGUUCCAAUCCAAUUAAGUCGUGCAGCCUAGAAAUCUUGCUCCAAAAUCCAAAUAAACUCUUCCAUACUCAUGUCUAGUUAAUAAUGUUGACCAAACUUUAGUGGUACACAAAAAUAUUAUCAAGCCCUUAAAAGUGUGCAAGUUCCAAUCCAAUUAAGUCGUGCAGCCUAGAAAUCUUGCUCCAAAAUCCAAAUAAACUCUUCCAUACUCAUGUCUAGUUAAUAAUGUUGACCAAACUUUAGUGGUACACAAAAAUAUUAUCAAUUUUUUUAGGGAUUUUAGAGUAAUUAACCUCCCAAGUAAACGAGCACAAAAGGACAAAAUACCGCCAUUCUAAUUCGAUUUAGGUAACCAUGGUCUAUUGAUUAACGUUAAAGUCUUAAAAUUAUCCCCCUUUCCCCUAACCUUUUGUUUAUAAUAUUUUAUCCUAUUUAGCUCACUUAAGUAAGAAGUGAAUUAUUUUAAAGUCCUAAAAAUUAGAUAAAAUUUCAUUCUUAUCACUAAAUUUUUGUUAAAUGGUAUUAACCAAGCAUGAAUUGAUGAAAGGACUCAAGGUUCGAAUUUGAAGGGUUUAAUUUGGGUAAAUUCCCUUUUGACCCCCUAAACUACACCCUGUUUCCCACUUCAAUCUUUAAACUUCUAAAUGGGACACUUAAGUCUCCAAACUACUGAAUCCAUCCCAAUUAAGUAAAAUCAUUUACGGAUUCCACAGGAUCAUCAGGGUUUUUCGAGCGUGCAAAACAAGCGCCACUGACCAAGGACGGGGAUGAAAAUUCAGAGAAAAGAUAUAAAAAAUAAAUAAAUUUAUUUAGCACAAAGGAUGGAAACUUUCCCUCCUUUUAUCAAGCACAAUCGGGUCAUAUAAUUGACCCGAUCCAAUUCAUAAGCUGCGGAAGAGAUGUGCUCUAAUAAAAAAGAAAGCAAUUGGCUGAAUAUCGAAAUGAGGGGUAAGAACUAAAUGGUCGAGAGCUUUUGGAAAUCUGAAGAUAAGAAAGAAGACAAAGGAGAGAUGGUUAGGGACACAUGCAACUGUGGAAAACAAGCAUUGAUGAUGACAUCAUGGACAAAUUUAAACCCAGGAAGAAGGUAUUGUCGAUGUCCAAAUUACAGGGUGAUUCCAUUUCCAUUAUAUCUGUUUGCACUUCUUCCCCUAUGGUUUUGAUUUGUAUGUAAUGCACCUAAGUAAACUUGUAUUUACUCUCUCAACGGUGUUGUUAAUGUAGGAAUCAGGGGGAUGCAGGUAUUGGGAUUGGGUGGGUCCUGAGAUAUGUCAAAGGUCGAAGGAUAUAAUCCCUGGACUGAUAAGAACAAAAUACAAAUUGGAGUCUGAGAUUGAGAGGUUGCAAGAGAACUCAAAGCUACAAGAAGCAAAACUAAGAAGGCUGAAGAUGUACUUGUUUCUUCACUGGGUUGUUGCUGUUGUAUGGAUCCUUUUGUUCAACUCUGGGCCAUGAAGGUCAUCAUUAGAGUUUGACAAGAAAAUGUCCAUGUAUGUGGGAAAAGAAGCAACGGUGUAGUAGAGUGCAACAUGCAAUGCAAGGCACAAUGGUGCUAUGUAAUUGGGAUGGAAAAGAUGUAAUUUUGUCUCUCUGUAUAAGCUGCGGUUUCUGGUGUAAUGUAGCUAUGCUUGAAGAAGCACUAGGAGCUGACAUGCUCUUUUGUUGGAACUUUAGGGACCUAAGUGUCCCUAUCUAAUGAAGUUUUGGGAUUGAACCAUCCGUUUUUGUAUAGUUGAGGGACUAAAGUGUCCCAACUUAUUGAAUUACUUUUGGCAGUAAACAUUAAACCUGUAAACAUAUGUAACACCAUCAACUGUUUGACACAAUAGAUGCAAUCGAAAAUGGACUGAAUUUGAUCAUUUAAGAAGAAGGCAUUGAUAGGGUGCAUUUUAGUGGGGUAUUUUGGGCAUUAUUGCACAAUUAUUUGACUAAAUAUUUUCAUUAAUUGGGUGGAUUCUACUGAUAUUUUGUUUUGAUGCUAACUGCAAGAAUUGGUACUAAAAAGUGCUUGAAAUCGAAAUUUAGAAGAUUCGUCGCACGGGAGCCACUUCAAGUACUGGGGUCCGCUCGAGAAGCUGAAGAAACUUAAUUGUAAUAGGUAUUAUUUUAUUCUAUUUUGAGGGAGUCUUGUUUUAAUUUUGGAAAAAUAACAAUUUUCCGGAGGGGAAAAAUCCCUUCUUGGAACUUCGGUUGACAACAGAGGCCAGAGUUAACCUUUCGUCUGGCUUAGGUUUUCUUUUCGGGUUUUUUUUCAUUGGGAAGAGGGGAGGAGCCGCAGCUUUGAAAAAACCAUCUGAGGAGACAAGAGCCUCCAUUCUUGACUUUGUAUUGCUUUUCGUCUUUCGUUGACUUCAGAUUUCUUGGGCUUUUCCAAUUGCAUUGACCAAAUAGGGAAAUUAAACAAUUGAAACCCAAUCUCUCGUAUGUUUUGUGAGGAAAGAAAGAAAGCAACGAGGAGCCGCAAUUGUGGACCUUUGGAAAUGCUUUUCAUUCUGGCUUUGACCGAAGGAAAUUGAAAGUGCAUGCUCUCUGUACGAUUAGCUUUGGAAAUCAAUUGAAAGCAACCAUAAUCAAUUGUUUCUUUUUCUUUUUUCGGUUGACCGAAGUGAACGAGGGUCAAUUUCUUCCGUUUGCUUUGAUUAAAGAAUCGACGGCUUCCUCCAGCUUUGCCCGCAUGGCCUGUACUCUAAUUAUGGGGAACUAAACCCCUAAUUCUAGUCAAGGGGACAACUGAUGAUUUGGCUCGGCAAUUACUGUGAGAUCGAAUUUAUUUUAACUGUUUCCUCCAUUUAUUAAUAUUUAUAUGUUUCCCGCUUUUAAUUGUUAUAACUCUUGUGUAUGAUUGAUUAGUGCGCAAUAAUUAAUUAUUCAUAUAAGCUAUUUUACUAAAUAGGGAUAAUUGAAUCCGUAAUUGUUCAUUAUCUUUAUCUCAGUAGCAACUGGCGUAAUUGAGUUUAUGUCAGGGGAACAUACAAUCUAACUUAAACAAACCCUCGUAGCGUGUUUGUUAGUUAGGAUUGGGCCUUUCUAAUUAUUAAUGCAAUCUAGAAAUUAAAUCCUACAGUCGUACCUAAGGUUUUUUUUGGGUUAGAAGAAUAGCUAACGGUCGUACCUUAGCUAUCGAUAAAUUAAGAAAGGGUUAGUUGUUUAUCGCGUGCAUGACAACUAUAACUACUCUAUUAAUAAAUGUUGGAAUUAUUUUUGAAUCAAUGAUCAGUUGCAUGAACCAUUUCUGAAGUGCACCAUUGGCUAGAGUUUCUCUUAGUUAUUUCUUUUAAUUAAUUAUUUUCUGCAUUUAAUUUGUUUAGUUGGCAUUUAAUCCCAAAAACCCCCCUAUAAAUCUCGAUUUGAAAAGAAACAAAUUUCUUGCUAGUCCCUGAGGAGACGACCCUGCUUGCCACUGUCUACUAGUUAGUGAAUUCAGUUAAAUAAUUAAUUCAAGUAUAUCGGAUUAAACAAACUCUUCGGGAACAGGGUGAAUCAAGUAACCAAUUGCACACCUAGAGUCCCUGCUCCAGUACUCGAAUUGAUUAUUGACUGCUUUAAGUGGUAGUUAGGUUUUAUUUAUUAUCAUUGCACAGGUUCAGCACCUGUCAGGCAUGUUUAGCCUUACACCAAAAGAUCAGAAGUUUCACAAAUAUACAAAACAACAGCUAGAAUUUCUUGGCAUUUACAAUAUCAUUUGCCAUUUACAAAACAUAAUGUGAACGAUUUAUAGCAACAGAAAUUCACAAAACCCAGCUAAACAUAGAGUUGUACAUUGCCAUUGCUAGUUGAAUGAUUCACGUGACCUGCUGCUGCUUGCAAUGUAAACAGAUUUACACACAUGUUCCCCCUCCAAGUGAAAGGGGUUGGUUGAAGUCGUCCGCUGACACGGCUAGUUGAACCGAACUCUUCUGUCUGCCUAUCAUCAAUGUAUGAGUCUAAUGGUUUCAUUGUUAUCCCUGGACUGUGUCAAUAAAAUUUGUCACCAGUAUUGGAGUUCAACUGCAUGUCAGGAGAUAAGAAGUAGUUAAUAGGAGAGUGAACAUAUUCCCAUCUCACACAGCAACAAAUGCAAAUUUCAAAGCACUUACAUGUCCAGAUUCAGUUCUCUUUGAAGCUGUCUCAUAUGGGUUAAUCAGAGAAUCAAUCGCAGCUCUGUUGAGUCCAAAUUCUCCAGUCAUGUCUAGUGAGUUUCUAAAGGUCCAUUACCUCAACUUGCAACCUUUCUUUGAAUGGUCAGAUUUCCUGCAAAAUGAGCAUUUUCUUGUGCCCUUGACUGGUUGUUCUCCACCAAUUUUCUGUUCAGUCUGACUUUGAGGAGCAGCUGUGCAGCUCUCUUGUGUACUUAAUUGAGUGACAUUAGCAGUACUUGGACCAGUACUAGUAUGCCUUGUUUCAUUUCUGAUGGCAUCUGUUUGUUGUGUACUGGUCCCACUAGAUUCCUUAUCCAUAUGCCCAUCUCCUCCCUUUUCUACUGGACCAGUUUGCUGAUUUUUUUCAGGACAGCUCCUUCUAUUAUGGCCGUAUUUCUUGCACAGACUACAACUUAUCUUAGUGCCAACCUUGCUAACUUUGUGAGGUUUAGAUGGAUUCACACAUGACUACCUAUUCCUAUCUUCAUCUGGUCCCUUUUUCCUUACCUUUUUGGCCUUCCAGGUGAUUUCCCAUAUUUUGGAAGCUUCAUUGGUGGUAAAUCUACUGGGGCUCAUAGAUUAGGACCAUUGAUUAGAUUCAACACAGGUUCAUAACUCUUCAUGUAUGUACUCUUCCAAUAGAAGGGGGCCACAUUUUUUUUCUGAUUUGUCACGUCUCCUAUUAAAAGCAGCAACUACAUGGCCAUAUGGGAUUCCCCUCAGUUGCCAUUUUCUACAAGUGCAGGUCUUGCUCCCUAAAUCAACGACAAACUGGUCACCAAAAUGACAGCAUAUCUGAUACUUCAUUGUGCCAGCAUAAUAGCAGAUGCACAUGCAUUGCUCUUUCUUGGCCUUCUCAAGAAUGUCAAAAAUUGCUGGACAUAAGAGAUCUAACCAAUAAAAGGGCAAAUUAGAUAUUGAACAUAGUGUAACUUUAAAAAUGAUGAUAAAAAACAGUAAGCAAGUAGCUUAACCUUCAUGCUUGGACAUUGCCUUUCUAUUCUUCUCCAUUCUCUUCAACAAAUAUAAGUAAAUAGUUUGCAACAUGCCUAUGAUAGGCAGUGAUCAUGCCUUUAAAAUAACUGAAUUAAAAGAUUCACACAUAUUAUUAACCAAUAUAUCGCAAUCCAAUCCAGUCUUGAAAUGAGCCCUAAACCAAGUAUUGGGGUCCUUUUCAUCCAACCAUGUAUAUGCAUCCUUUGAUUCUUGCUUCAUCAUCUCUAUUUCUGCUUUGAACUGAGUCAUAUAUGAAGCCCUUGCACAUCUUCAAAGCCUAUCUUUAAGAGUAAGACCUCUAUGCAUUUGCUUGAAGUUAGUAUAAAGGUGUUGGACACAACACCUAUGCUCAGCUUCUGGAAGUUUGUCCCUAACAGCCUAAACUAUACCCUUUGCAACACAACACAACAAUCACAUAUGCCACACUAAUAUCAAUAGUUUAACAUAAAUAGUUAAUGGAUAACAAAUUAAUAAAUACUACCUUCUGUUUGUCAGUCAUAAUGCACCAUGUACUAGAGUCUGAAAUUUGUAAAUCUUGUACAAGCAAUCCUAAAGACCAACUCCAGUUAUCAUAAUUCUCUACCCCAACAACUGACAAAGCCAACGGAAACAUUUUGUUAUCACCAUCCAUUCUAACUGCUAAUAAAAGCUGCCCAUCAUAUGGACCUUUUAGGAAGCAACUAUCUAACCCAAUCCACUAUCUACAGCCAGCUAAAAAACCUCUCUUUAUUGGUUCUAAGCGCAUAUACAGCCUUCUAAACCUAGAAACACCAUCUUCAUCUAUAUCAGUCUUAACAAACACAGUAAAUCCCGGAUUUGCCCUCCUCAAUUCACCACAAAUGUUUCCAACAUGGUGUACUGUUUGUCAUGGAACCCCUGAAUAGUGUCUCUCACUUUUCUAAGUGUUCUAUACCCUUACUUAAGGCUAAAAUCAAUAUUUAACUCCUCAAUUACUUUGGUCAUCAACUCAUGCACUGUCAUAGAUGACACUUUCCUUACCUCAUCAACAAAUAGUUUGCUAGCCAACCUAGAUGUCAUUUUUUAUUGUGGAACACUCUUCCACAAGUGUGCUCAUCACUAAGUGCUUUUAUUUGAAAGGUGUUUUCAUCUUGCAUUUUAGACCCAAAUAGCUGCUAGUCACAAUUUCUGCAUUUCAGUCUCACCCUACGUGUGUCAUUUUUCUUGAAACACACAUCUCUCCCAUCCAUUAUUGCUUGGAUUCUUACAGCCAACCUGAAUGUAAUGACUGAUGUGAACUUCUGACCAACUUCAAACUUUGGUUUCUUCAUGUCUGUUAACUGGAAAUUUAGGCCUCCUUGUUUUACUAUUCCCAUCUUCAUCAGAUUCACUUUGACUCCUCAAUUCAAAUGAAUCAUCCAAGUCAUAUUCUGAUUCAAUGUCAUCAAUAUUAAUCAUAUCAGGGUCAUCACAACAGUUAAUUUUAAUGGGUGGGUCUCUCUUCCUUCUUGGCUUUUUCUUUCUUUGCUCACUACAAUGAGAAGGACCAGGUUUAUUGCAAUGCGAAGGGCCAGCUUCAUGUGCACCUAGGUCUACUCCAAUAGUUUGACCAAUUUUGAUGGCUUCAUCUAAUACGUCAUUGUCUCCCCCUGGAUCCUCAUAGUCUGAAUCUGCCAUCUUCUUAUCAACAUUGACUCCAUUUUCUUCCUCUUCUUGUCUGGCAAUAUCACAUGAUAUUUCCCCUACACCACCUUCAUUGCUGGCUGCCUUUUGUGCAUUUUCAUUGCAAUUUUUACAUUCAUUUUCUUCUCUGACUUGUGCAUUUAAAGCUUCAUCAUAACCUUCAACAUCUUUUUGUUCCUUUGCAGCAUCACUCCUAUUAUCAGCUUUCUCUUCUACCAAAUGUCGUGCCCCAUUUUUUUGAGAUAAGAAUAAAAGAUGAGUUUAAAAAAAAUGGCUUUUGAUUCAAUUUUUGAUUGGAAAAUGACUUUUUGAUUUAAAAAGAAAAUGAAAAAUAUGAGUCUAAAUGGGACUUGAAAAUGUGACGAUUUGACCCAAAAUAUAGUUUAAAAAGGGUUAUUUGAAUUAAAAAUCGGAAUCGCCACUUGGUAUAGAGUUAAGGUGUACCAAGUCACCUAAAAGUGAAUUUUUAAAGAAAAGUAGAAAACUCUUUUCAAACGAACCCCAAGUCUACGAAAAUCAGAGAAAAAGAUUCGGGAGUCACAUUUGAAGAAAGAGAAGGCAAGGAUAAGAAUCCAAGGCACCAUUUCAACCUAGCCAAGGCUAGUUGCGUGAUUUAGUCAAAGAUUUUCUUAUAUUACCCUUAAGAUUUAUCACAUUUGGAUGUACUAUAUGAAUGCAUACCCUAGACCUAAGAGGGUGUCAGGGGGGUUCGAAAUGUAUCUUCAAAGCUUACUUGGUACCAAUCACAUUAAUUGUGACGCCCAAUAAAGACUUUUCGAAAAAAUCACGAAUAAUGCAAGUCAUGAGACUCGAAAGAAAGGAAAAGUAAAGAAAAUAAUAAUAUACAAAUGUGUAUGACCUAAAGGAAUGCAUCAUAAUGGGUGCGGGGGACUAAUGUUCGUGACUCAAUUUUCCCUUUAAUAGAGGGAAUACGAGUGUGCUAAGGCUAGAAAGCCAAACUCGUCAAUAUCCCAUACUCAAGGGGUUUUUUCUAGUCUAACCAAGCAAAUGUACUAACCUAGGUUUAAUACUUAGAUGAAACGCAAGUCUAAUGUCAUGUUUCAUACAAAGGGGUAAGUAAUAUACAUAUGAGGGAAAAUAUGGGGGAAGGGAUAUACGUAGAAGGAGGGAUGUCAUGCAAAAAAAUGAUAAAAGACCCUAAAAAGUGAAAACAUGCAUGAGAUGGAGUGAUUUUAUCACACAAUCAUGAUCUAACGCUCGAGGGGCUCCUAAGGGUCUAGCAUUGGACUAGCCCUUUUACUAAUACUCUCUCACAAGCAUUGGACUUGUGAGGGCUCGAGGGGAAAACCAUGACUAGCAUUGGACUAGCCACGGUAACGUGCAUUCAUCCACACAAUCAGAUACAAUAUUAAAACAAAUAGACAUGCAAAACACAUAGUUUCACAUAGCACGUAACACAUAAGCAUGCUUGUCUAGAUGCAGAAUCCUAGGGAAACGAUUAAACACAUAGGCAUAUAGGCACACACAAGCACAUAGCACACAAGCCCUAUCUAUUACAAAAGGGGAUGCCUACUACAGUCUAAAGGGGAGAUAAAAUAAAUAAAUAAUUAAAAUAAAUAAAUCUUUAACUAUUACAAAUUUGGCAUCCAAGUGCCUUUCAAAUGAGCAAAAUUGAACUACAAUAAAUAUUCAAAACUAAAGCCAAUAAGUAAGUAAAUGAUAAAGAUAAAACACUUUCAACAGGCAUGCAAUUAAACACAUAAAGUCAUAUAGGGCAUGUAGGAUCCAAUAAAGUGAGAAAUAAGGGAUAAAACGUACCUCCCUUGAGGUGGGGCCCUAAUUGAAUGAAAUCACUUAUUUACCCUCCAAAAUAAAAGAAAAGGUCAAGGCAUCUCAAAUAAUCACGUUUAUACGAAAUUGAAUCAUUAAAUGCAUUCAAAUGCCUAAACAGUCCAUAUUCACAAGAUUAGGAUCCAAUUGAAAGGAAAAAGAAAGUUCAAGGGGGGCAAUUUGAUUGAUUUUUUAAUUAUUUGGGCCAUAGUAUAACAAAAAGGAACUUGGGGGGUUAAAGUGUAAUUUUUAGAAUUACUUUCCAUGCAUGCUACGAAGAAACAAAUUCUCAUCUCUGGUUUCCCUUUCUCUGCAGCUUACUGUGUUUCAUUACCAACCCAAACAUUACCAACAAACAUCGACUUUUGAAUCAAACGAUCACAAGACACUCCCCCAAUCAUCAACCAAGCCAAAUAUUACAUUUGUGUUGCAAGACCGAAUGAGAAAAAUCUGGUUUAGUGAUUGCUAGAAAAACAAAGUGCAGCAGUAGUUUUCGUAACAGCAAAACAAGAAAAUGCAGCAACAAUCUUUAACUCUUGUUUGAAAUGCCAAAAACAAAACGUUCAAGAAAUCAUGCUUAAGCUCAGACCCUGAAACAAACAAGAUGCCAAACAUGCUAUGAAUCAAACACUCAUCAGAGAAAACGCAUGCCAAGCUGAAGUUUUCCUUCCCACAACACUUUGUCUUCGACUUCAGCAUAUAGGAAACAACCAUGAAUAGCUUGCUGAAGCCUCCAACUUCAACUCUUAAAGACAUCAAAUUCCAAAUCAGAAAAUGAAAACCAAAUGCGUGGUUAAUAUUCGGGUCCCUCCCAAUUCAAAAUGUAUUCGCAAGGAAAUAAACUUCUGCACUGAUUUGCUUUUUUUUUUAACUUUGCAGGUGACCUGAUAGCAUGUGAUAAUCUUAACCAGAAAAACAAUCUCAAAUAUUUAACAAGCUUCCUAAACUCAUCACUGAAAUAUAACAUUGAAUGCACAAACGAAGGAAAAAAAUCUGAGCAAAGGAGGAAUUCAUCAGACCCCAGAUUCAUUCAUUAGUUUCAAAACUAAUGACUUUCCAAACACAGCUUUAACACCAGAUGUUGUUCAUGGCAUUUCACUCAAGCAUAGACAACAAAAAACAAGCAAGUCAAACGAGUCAUAGCUUCAGCAAAACGAAUACGUGAAAAUGACAGCCACUACAACCCAAAGUAAAACACAUGAAUUGGUCAAACGUUGCUGCAACAGAUUUGAGCAAGCCGAGAGUUGCAAACCUGUUGCAUUAGAAGCUCAAUCUAUUUCUAAGAAUCCAGAGCUACCCAACUACGAUAAAGGAUCUCACGAACAGGGGCAUAAGGCCAUAUUCAUCAGAAAUCAGCAAUAACAUCAUGUUCAUCAGAAAUCAGCAACAACAAAUCACAACCAAGAAUAAACGAACUAGAAAGCUGCAGAUCCUUACACAAAUAUCACCAGAUCUUCACAAAAUGGUAUGAAAAUGACAGGAAGAAAGGCUGGAGUUACCUACAAAUGUCGGUGAAAUAAAGCAAACGUGAAAUAUGUCCGAAAAAUGCAUGCAAAUUCCAGAAAUGAGAUUGAGAAUGCCGGCGCCGCAGAACUUCAGCGCUGAUGAAGUCGUCACCUUGGCUCCUGAUUUGGCUAUCUUCCUAUGGUUUUCCCUUCAAAAUUUCUGAAUGAAAAACACUCCCAUCACAUUGUAGAUGUUCCAGAUUACCCUAAAUCUCCAAUAAGGAGCCAAAUCCAUAGAAAAAAUUGCCUCCAAAGACAACAGAAAAUCAGCCUGGAUAGCAGAUUUUCUGGAAAAUUUUCUCUUCCCGCCGCCGCUCUUUCCCCUCGUUUUUCUCAGUUUUCUCCUCUAACUCUUCCCAGAUCUAACUCUCUCCCUCUCUUAUUUUGGUUUUCUUCCCUAUCCCAGAAAGCUCUCUAGUUUCCCCGGGCUCCUUUCUUCUUCGUGUUCCCUUUUCGCAAACCUCAGCCGAAGCCUCCCUCUUUACUUCGGUCCUCCUGUUUUUCCCUCAACCAAAGACGAAAGCCCUCUGUUCUUUUCCUUCCCUUUUUCGUUUCCUAUGUAGCUCCUCCGAAAGCUUCUCCCUCAGUUUUUUCUUUUUCCUUCUGCUUUUUCUUCCUCCUUCAGUCCAACGCUUUUUCUUUGUUUUCGUUCCUUUUCCCCGCAGCUUCUCUCUUUUCACCGUUUUCCCUCCUUCCGGGUCUCUAACUCAGCCGCCCUACUGUUUUUCUUUCUGUCAACCUCAGCCCUCCUCCUUUCUAGUUUCUCUCAGCCGUCCUUAGAUGCUCCCUUAGUUCUCUGCUGUUAUCUUUCUUUUCCCGUCGUUCUCCUUUUUGCCCCCCUUUUUCUCAGCCGC
RNAcentral lists this long non-coding RNA (48237 nucleotides) under Coffea arabica (coffee). RNAcentral describes it as "long non-coding RNA (CARA_LNC005016)". The record is from RNAcentral. Lineage: Eukaryota; Viridiplantae; Streptophyta; Magnoliopsida; Gentianales; Rubiaceae.